CCAUUCCUCCCACACUGAUAUCUCCUUGAACACCAGAGUCUGCAGGCUUCCAAAUGGCUUAAAUGAAGAAGGCCCAUUCCCAUAAAACUCCUGCCCCACCUUUUGCAGAACAUCAUUCUUCACAAUGGAGAGGUUCUGGAGAGACCGUAGCUGUCCAAGAGGUGGCAAGGAUGCACAAUUUUUACAGUUAGAGAGUUGUAGACGCACCAUGUUGAUGAAUGAAGGUUCCCCUAACCAGCUUGGAAAUUUUGCACCAUAGUAGCAUCCAAUGGAGAGUUCUUUCAGGUUGCUAUGAGGCUGCAGCUUUUCCAGCACACUUGCUGCAUCAUGUGAAUCACCGGCAAUUGCAUUAUCAUCUUCCCAAUUCAAUUCUAACUUGUCAAGGCACUCCUUACCCUUCAUAUUACUCUCCAAGGCAUCUCUAGCAUCUGCCACAUUUUGCAACUUGAAAAUGGCAAGUGUACCAGUAAGGUGUGAAAGGUCCCUCAAUUCCCCAACUCUUGAUCCUGUAUGCUUACCGACAACAAAAGCAGUCAACGUUCGAAGAUUUUUCAUUCUACUCAUUUCCAUUGGCAUCCUUUCUAGCUUAAUCCCAUCAAUUUUGAGAUGACGCAAGUUGAUUAGUCUUCCCAUUUUUGUUGGCAAAUCAACAAGAAAUCUACACUCUGAUAGCAUCAACGUUUGCAAGUUGAAAAGAGUAGUUAUUGAUUCAGGUAGUGUUCUAAUUCGAGUAUGAGAGAGGUCCAGAUAGCGUAGGUGUUUCAAAUUUUCAAUCGAGUGGGGCAAUUCUUUAAUGUCAUAGUGACUCAAAGACAAAACCCGCAAACACCUCAAUGUUGACAACAAACAAUGUGAGAUCUCCUUGCUUAAAUAGAGAGUGGACAAUAAAUUAGAAUAAAGAGGUAGUGGUAAGAAGGUCCGAAGAUUAUAGAUGUUAAGAAAUAAUUUAGCUUCCUUGAAGACUUUGAAAUGUUGCCAAGUAUACGAAGAAUGUCGAAUCUCCUUAGAAAUUUGAUUUUGUUGUUCAACCUCCAAUCUAAAACAAAAUUUUCCUGAUGUAAAUUGUGCCAAAUCAUGAAUCAGAUCAUGCAUCACAAAUUGAGAAUCAUUGUUAUCGUAUUGUUGAAAGAACGACCUUAACAGUAGACUAUUGAAACAUUUCCUCCCAAACUGUUCUAUAGUUUCCCCUCUUUUGGAGCCAUCUAAGAAGCCUUCAGCCAUCCAUAAUAAUACUAACUUCUCCCUUUCAAACACAUAGUCCUUGGGGAAUAUGGAACAAUACGCAAAACAUCGCUUCAAUGUUGUAGGGAGAUAAUGAUAACUCAAGUUCAAAGCAGGAAGAAUACUACUUUGCUCAUUUGACAAAUCCCAUAUUUCAUUGUUUAACACUUCAUUCCAAGCCGUGAUAUCUUGGUUAGAGUGUAAUAAACCUCCAAGUGUCUUCGCCACCAAAGGUAGACCUUUGCAUUUUUUGGCUAUCUUCCUACCGGUUGAUUCCAAAUUUUGGCAUUCAUUUGAAUCUAGAUUUGUAAGGGCUGUUUGUGCGAACAAUAACCAACAUUGUUCUUCAGCUAAUUGACCGAGCUGAUGAGAAGAAGUUGUCGUUCGCAUAAUUGCCGCCACAGUUUCAUUGCGAGUUGUUACUAAGACCACGCUGCCUCGUGCUGCGACAUUAAAAGGAGCUUGUAGGAGAUCCCAACGGGGAGUUUUCUCGUUCCAUACGUCAUCUAGAACAAGGAGAAAUCUUUUAUCCUUCAUUUCAUUCUUCAAUUUUUCUUGAAGCGAUUCCAAGGUUUUAAAUUCACAUGGACAUUUUGUGAUGGACUCAAGAAUUGCUUUAGUUAUCCCUACAACAUCAAAAUCGUCCGAAACACAAACCCAAACUCUCUUUUCAAAAUGGUUCUCCACCCUGCCGUCAUUGUAGAUGAUCUGAGCGAGGGUUGUCUUGCCAAUCCCACCCAUGCCGACUAUGGAAAUGACAGAAACUUUAUCGACCUGGGUUGCUUCAUCUGACAGCAUCAAUUCAAUGAUCUUCUCCUUAUCAGCAUCCCUACCAUGAAUACGAGACUCAUCUACUAAAGAAGUAGUCGGUAGCCUUUCUUCAAUUCCAAAGGACACCCCUCCAACACCCUCCCUCAGAUGAAGGUCAAGUCUCCGUUUGGCAAUUGCAUCUAACUCCCUUGUGAUUUUGUUUAUUUUUUCACCCAUCUUUUUGUUAAAGGACAUAGCUCUAGGAUCCAAAGCACCAAAAGUUGGGAUGAGCUUGCGUACCUUACUUGUGCUGGCUUGAGGGCCUUCUGUCAAACUCCUUUGCUUGGCUUCAGUAUCAAACUCAUCCACCACAUCUUCAAUGUCAUAAGCCAAAGAUUUGAGGUCAUCCAGCCAAACUUUCACUGCUUUCUCCCUGAUCUGCUUGUUCUCAGCAUCAUCCACCACUGCUUCAAUAUGGGUCAACGUCUUCCUCCAUUCUUCGAGUGUUCUGUCGACUUUUUUCCGGCGAGCGUACUCUAACAGGGGGGAGGCGAUCAACUUGUCAAUCAACACACCAAUGAAGGAAGAUCCAACAGCCUCAGCCACAAACAUGCUUUCAGAAAAUGCGAGAGAGCAAAAGAGAUAGGAGAAGGUAAAGUUUCCACAGAUUGUAAGAUCGUUGUUGUGGUGACCCUUUCAACUCACAAGAAGAUAAGGACACAAACACUCACUAUACAAAAUUAAAAAGAAAAAGAAAAUAAGAGAAGGGUCAUCUUAUUCUACAGGGAAGGGCAAUUCUAUCCUACUGUAAAGGGUUUUUGGCUUUGGCUUUGGCUUUGGCUUUGGCUAUGUAUCAUACAGAGCAGUUAAAGAGGGAUUUUGAAGGGCAAUUCAUGCGACUCUUUGACCCCUUGAAAUUAUUUUUGGAAGUGUUGAAAUAUCAAAAUCCCAUAAUUCAGAUAAAUUUAUUUUCAUCUAAAUUUCAUAUGUUUGUAGUUAUUUUAUUGCUUAAAGUGUUUAGGUAUCGGUAUUAGAUCGAAGAUCGAAGAAUGAAAGAAAAUGAUAUCAUGUUAAUUUUAUUUAGUUUUUUAUGUUUUUAUUUUGUUUUUAAAAAUUGCUGACAACAAUUUCUAUUUGUUGUCUAAAAACAGUACUUUUUAUUUACUUUUUUAUUUUUUUAUUUCACUUUGUUUUUAGAGAAUCAAUGAUUAAAUCAUAUUAGGAAUUUUAAAAAUAGUUUCUUAUUUUUAAAAACAAAAAAAUGUUUUGAAAUCACACAACUAGAUAGAUUCUAAUAGUUUUUAAAACUAUUUAAAAAAAUUUUGAUACCCUUUUAAAAGUGAUUUAAAAAAAAUAGAAAAAUGGGAAGCCUAUCUAAUAUUAGGAGGCAACCCUUGGAUUCCUGUAAAUGAAAAUUUAAUUCAACCUAUCUAAAAAAAAAUAACAAUAAGAAUUAAAAGAAGAAAUAAUUUAUGAAAGGAAAUGGAUAAAUAAUGCUAGAUUCAUGAGUGGCAAGAAUAUGAUCCACAUGUCACAAAGAUUAAUAGAAAAGGAAACUACAAAAUCUGAUUAAAAAAAAAAAAAAAAAAAGAGUGUUGAAGAGCUAUUACUAGUAUGUGAAUACUUUUUAAAGUUAAACAUGAGAUAGAACUAUAGUGGUAAAGAAAUAGAGCUAUCACUAGUCCUUCAUCAUGUUUUAAGAGUUGCAACACAUUGAAAAUAGAAUCAUCCCCUCCCCCUCCUGUCCUUUUUUUUUUUUUUUUUUUUUUUUGUUGAAUUAAUUGAUUAAAAGGAUAAAAAGAUUUCAAAUUUAUAAAUUUAACAUUUCUCAGUUUUGAACUUAAAGAGUAAUCCAUUUUAGACAUAGAUACUUUCCAAUAUUUCAAUUAUUUACAUGUGUUUUAAAAGAAAAGAUUAUUUUUACAAGAAAAAAGUGAGACAAUUUUUAUCUAAAAUAAGUAUUUUUCAGGAUGGAAAAAAGUGGAGGGUUGGUUUUACAAAUUAGGGAUGAUUUCAUCCAUUUUAAAUCGAGUAUGCUAGAAUUUUUGCAUCUCUUUAAAUCUUAUACCCACUUGGAAUAAAUAAUCUAGACCUUAAACUUAUGCUUAGUUCCUAAAAAGCACAGGAAAGAAAAAAAAAUUAUUAAGGAAAAUGAUUUUCUUAUAUUUGGAUAUAUUAUGAAAUAUAUAUAUAUAUAUAUAUCAAAUAUAAUUAAAACUGGGUAGUAAUUUAUACGUUUUCAAAUUAUUUAAUCUUUAUAUUGAAAAAUUAAAUUAAGUAAAAUGAGUUUGAAAUAGUAUAUAAAAAUAGUUUAUUGACUUCACAUCUAUUUUUUAUUUUAUUUUCUCCUACUUUUCUUCUCUAUUUUCACUCCUACAUUUUCCUUAAGGCUAUGUUUGGUUUUCUAAAAGUUUGAAAGAAAAUAGAGAGGAAAAGUAAAAAAAAAAAAAUAAAAAAAAAAUUGAAGGAAAAUAAAAAAUAGAUUUAAAGUAAAUAAAUUAUUUUUAUAUACUACUUUAAAUUUUUUAUUUAACUCUUUUAUAUAAAAAUUAAAUAAUUUAAAAAUAUACAAAUAUCUUAAUAAUUUUAAUUAUAUUUAAUUUUUUUUCUUAUUUUUAAUGAGAAAACCAAAUAUGGGAAAAUAAUUUUUUUUAGCAUUUUUUUUUAUUUCCUUAGUACUUUAUGAGAACUAAACAUAGCCUAAAUUUUCUAGCAACCCACAUGACCUAAUAUUUUGAACUUCCAAGUGAAGAUGUUUCUUGUAAAUAUCCUAUAUAUAGGUUUUAGUAAAGAUAUCUAGAUCAACUACUCACUUAAUUACUUUGGAGAUAUUUGGGAUCCCAUUUAGACAGUGUUGGUCAAUGCUCAAGACACUAUUGGAACAUUUUAUGUUUUUAUGUUUAUUUUUCUUAUAUGUGAAAGUGGAUGAUUUUUUAUUUUUUAUUUAUUUUUUGUGAUUGUAAGCAAAAAGCGAUUUGUUCACCAAUAUAAAAUUAUUUUUAGUAUCACCAAUAGUAAAAAAAGAAAGAAAAAAGUUAAAUUGGAAACUUAUAAAAUAAAGUCAAUAACAUUAUUAUUUGAAAAAAUGGUAUACAAUAAUUAAAUAAAUCAAUAAAAAGAAAAUAGAUUUUCUUGGUUUCCUCUCUACACUAGAAUGAGAAUUCUUGAACAUGAAAAUAAAUGAUUAGCAUAUGAUAUUAUAAAUGUUAUUUUGCCAUCUAUUAUUUCUUUUUGAAUUGAGAAACUCAUCAUAGUAAAGACUUUCACACAUAAUUUACUAUCUUUUUAUAUACAAAUUGACAAAUACUACCCAUAGCAAACUCACUCACUAUAAAUGAUUUGUUGAUAGUUUACCAUGACUACAUCAUUCUAGAACUCCAAACGUCCUAACCACACCUUUAAGCACAACAUAGAAACAUAUAUAUUACUAUCAUAUAAUUAUUGUUUUUGGAAGGUAAUCUCUACCAAGGUGCUAGUGGAUCUGCAUUUGCAUUGAUUCUUCCUAGUAACUCAAAGAUUGUUUUUCCAAGGAUUUUGGGAUAUUGAUAGGGCUAGUAGUGUAGAUAGAAAAUCUAUUAGCGUUUUUUGCAUUUAUCUUAGAGGCAACUUGAAACAUUGGAGCUCAAGAAAACAGAAAGUGCUAGCAUAGAAUCUAAAUAUCGAUCCUUGGCCCAAGUUGCAAGAAAGGUUACUUAGCUUUAGUCCUUAUUCAUCAAAGAGUUAGGAAUUAAAAUUGAUGAUACUCUAAAAAUGUGGUGUGAUAAUUCUAGAGUAGGUUUCUUAACUUCAAAUCUAGUGUUCCAUGUGAGAACUGAGAAUAUCGAAAUUGAUGUCUAUCUCAUACAACUAUAAAAGAGAAAUUCAUGGCAAAGGAACUAAACAUGCAAUACAUUCCAAUGGAGAAACAAAUAGCAAACAAACUAACCAAACCUUUCUUAGCUACAUGUUUUGAAAUACUUAAGGACAAGCUUACUAUGGUACAAUCCAUUUGGAAAUCAAGUAAAAAAGAUUUUUCAAUUCUAGUUUAACAAAACAAAAUAAAUCCAUAGAUACUCACCUUAUGCCAUUGUGAGAAAGAUAACUUUACAUAGAUUAUUUAUGAAAUUGCAUCACUUUAAGCAACACCUUGUCACUUUGUAUUGGUAUUGACACCUUGUAUUUACCUCUCCUUAUUAUUUAUAAUGCUUGCAAAAAUGAUGAGAAUCUUCACAAACUUAAAACUUUAAGCAAGAGCCCUUUUAUAUAAUUUCAAGUGACCUUACCCAUCAAGAGUCACACAUGAUUACUUCCUACUAGAUUAUAUUAAUCUACCUCUUCUAAUCCUAUGUAAUAUGGAAUUUUAGUGCACAAUAAUUUCGACAUUCUCACACAUUGGGCAAAUAACCACAUAGGGACUUGAAACUUUUAUGGAUUUACUAAAUGGCCAUAUAAAAAUAAUGCUAUCAGUACAUGCUAAUCUAACAAAGUUUUCAAUAUGGAUCAUGAUGGUAACAUAUCAUUAAUUUUAUCAGAUAUAAUUCAUUCUAUGCAUCACACAAUUGGUUACUCAAUUUAGAGAACCUAAAUGAGGAAGUAAUAACCUAUAAACAUCUAAUAAAUGGUCUUGACUUUUAUUUAAAAUUUUUGACAAUUCUAUUAAUCAUUAUUCCAAAAAAUGUACACGAGGGAGCAUGAAAUUUUAUUAUUGUAUGUUUAAAACAAUUCUACGACAUCCGUAAAACCCAUAGAGUAAAUAUGUUCCUUAAACUUCUUAGGCACCAAAGCUUUUGUAAAAGGAUUUAUCAUAUUGUGGACCCCGCAUUUUCGGCUCAUGCGCUUCCCACUCGAUGGUGAGCUCGAUUUUUACUUGAAAAAUUGAUUUGUUGAUUAAAAAUGACUUGGAGUCGUCACUUAUUUUUGUUUUAUAUUUAAAAGGGUAAACAAAAUAAGAAAGAAAACCCUAAGUGUGACUCCUUGUUUUGGAAAAGGUGGUCUGUGAAAAACCAGAUCGGGCUCGGGGGUCAAGUUACUUAUCGGGAAGGUACGGUACGGACCGUAGCACCCCUCUAAGUCCCUAAAGUCAGGUCUCUACUGUUAGGAUGAAGUCGUCGUGGCAAUCAAUAAGUAAGUCAAUGGAUGCCUAAGUCAAAUCAUGCACAUAUGAAAAUCGGAACAUGCAUAGAGAAUGAUCAAAACGAAAUGGUAUGCAUACCUGGGCCACGAGUCACAAUGCGCUAUCAAGAAACGAGAUUAGUACACAAUUAACGAAUACAAAUUAUAGCUUAUGCAUAUCGGAGUGCAAAAUGAAGAUCAAGCAAAAUCUAUUAAGCACAACAGUUGACAGUCAAUAGGGAUCAAACAUAGGCCCCCCCCCUACCAAAGCCCGAUUUAUUGCCUACGAACUAAUCUCACAAAUCCCGUGUUUUAGAAUUAUGAAGGAAUCAUUAUUGCUUAUGUAAAAUCAAGAAGACCAAAAGAUUAUUUAGGAACUGAAAUAGGAUUAAAACUAUUUGAGUGAAAAUUGGAUUAUUGGAGUUUAUUUGAAAAUUGGAGUACUUGGAAUUAAAUUUAAAAGAUUAGAGCUCCGGUAAUUAAAUUGAAAUUUGUUAAAGAAAAUGAGAAACGAACUUUAAGAAAUUGAACUGCAAGACCAUAGACUUUUGAAAGUUGAAUUUGUAAUAAUAAUAAUAAUAAGAUUUUGAAAGUUUGAAUUAAUGAUAGUAAUAAUAAUAAUAAUAACAAUAAGAUUUUGAAAGUUUGAAUUAAUAGUAAUAAUAAUAAGGUUUUGAAAGUGUGAAUUAAUAAUAAUAAUAAUAAUAAGAUUUUGAGAGUUUGAAUUAAUGAUAAUAAUAAUAAUAAUAGGAUUUUGAAAGUUUGAAUUAAUAAUAAUAAUAAUAAUAAGGUUUUGAAAGUUUGAAUUAAUAAUAAUAAUAAUAAUAAGAGUUUGAAAGUUUGAAUUAAUAAUAAUAAUAAUAAUAUUAUUAUUAAUAAAAUUUCGAGAGUUCUAAUUAAUGAUAAUAAUAAUAAUAAUAAUAAGAUUUCAAAAGUUUGAAUUAAUAAUAAUAAUAAUAAUAAUAAUAAUAAUAAUAAUAAUAAUAAGGUUUUGAAAGUGUGAAUUAAUAAUAAUAAUAAUAAUAAUAAUAAUAAGAUUUCGAAAGUUUGAAUUAAUAAUAAUAAUAAUAGGAUUUUGAAAGUUUGAAUUAAUAAUAAUAAUAAUAAUAAGGUUUUGAAAGUUUGAAUUAAUAAUAAUAAUAAUAAUAAUAAUAAUAAGAUUUUGAGAGUUUGAAUCAAUAAUAAUAAUAAUAAUAAUAUUAAUAAGAUUUCGAGAGUUCUAAUUAAUGAUAAUAAUAAUAAUAAUAAGAUUUCGAAAGUUUGAAUUAAUAAUAAUAAUAAUAAUAAUAAGGUUUUGAAAGUGUGAAUUAAUAAUAAUAAUAAUAAUAAUAACAAUAAUAAGAUUUGGAAAAUUGAAUUAAUAAUAAUAAUGACUAUGGUAAUAAUAAUAAUAAUAGUAAUAAUAAUAAUAAUAAUAAUAAUAGUUAAUAAUAAUAAUAAUAAUAAUAAUAGUGAUAAUAUCAUAAACCCAAGUCCAUAAGCCCAAACCCACGUCCAACAUUAAAAAAAAACUCAAUCCAUAAGCCCAAGCCCACGUCCAAUCAUUAAAAAGAGCUCUGGGCUCCAUCUCCACCCAGCCCAAACUAGCAUAAUAAUAAUAAUAAUGGGGCUUUGGGCUCCAUCUUCAGCAUAGGCUUGGGCUUGGGCUCCAAAUUCAAACUCAAGCCCAAAGCCCAAACCAAACACAAAAUUGGGCCUAGCCUUAACCCAAGCCCAAAAACCAAAACUUCAUCUUCUUCCUAGCUUCCCCCCCCCCCCACGUCCGGCUGCUACACCUUUGCCACCUCCCCGCGGCGGCAGCGGCGACGGUGCCCGAGGUCAUGGAUUCUCCAGGCUUGGUGGACAGCUCCUGGGCCUCGGUGGCGCGAGAACAACUCCUGGAGGAUCUCGCCCUUCCAGGCGAAGACGGCGGCGCUGUCGCGGGCUAUGGCAGCGGCGGCGUGGUCCUGGAGCAAUAGUGCGACGCAUUGCAUUGGGAAAUCAGUGUCACAGAAAGCAAUAGUUGGAGUGUUUCCUAGUGCAGCUUCCUUAAUAGGCUGGUGAUGGAGAGUGAUCUUGAUGGAGGGGUUGGGAAAAGGUUGGAGAGAUGGGUGAGCGUGAAGGUUAGAAAAAAGGGAUAUGGGCAGUUGAUAAAUGGGUGUGAAAGUCUAGAGAGAAAUGGGUGAUUGAAUGAUGGGUAUGAAGGUGUGGUUCAAAGGUGACGAAAUGGAGUGGGCUGGUGGGUAUUAAAGGAAAUGGCAAUGAGAUCAGCAGCAACAGGGCAUAAAAGAAAGGUCCGAAAAUCAACAACAUACAGCAUAUAAUCCAUAUUUUCCCAACCCAAAUCGACGAGCAACGUGGAGCAAACCAAAUAGGAAAUAAAUGAGAAAUAUAUCAAUCAAAAUAAGCAAGGAAUUUACCUCAAACUCACCUGCAACCACUCUCUUUUUCUCCGUUAUCUCCUUGUAAUCAGACUGUCACUCCCAGAAGAACGGGCUCCUCAAGCAACUGAAUAAACUCCCUUUGUGACUCUCAGAAGAAGAAUCCCAUCCAAAGCUGCCCCUCCUUCCCUUCCUUCAAGCUUUUUUCUCUCUUUUGUUUGUGUCUUCCUCAGCAAGCCAUCCUGCCUGUUGCUACACGUCCCAUCUGGUGACUACCCCCCAUCCUCUCUAGCUGCCCGAGAGCAGCCCACUUGAGAAACAACAAAAAAUAAUAAUAAUAAAAAGCUCAAGCUCCUGGGGGUCUACACAUAUCUAUACCAAUGUGUUUGAUGGACAUCUUUUGAAACUAGACUCUUUCUCUAACCACAUGGUGCUUCAACUCAAUAUGUUUUGACUUAGUAGAGAAUUUUCUUGUAGAAAAGAAAACUAUUGUAGAAUUAUCACAAGAUAUAUUAAUUGGCUUAGAGAUUCCAUAAAUUUGAGUCCUAAAGUUGAGUUUCAUAGCUAAAUAACUAGUGAGGUGGCUUAAUGGCUUGCAAUAAAUUCAAUUGCCAUUGUGGAAGAAGCAUUGAUAGUAUUGGUUUUAACUUUUUUCUAUUAUGCAAUUUAAUUAGAAAAUGAAAAAUUGAUUGAUUAGAUUAUAUACAAAUAUGCUAGACUUGUCAAUGAAACCUCUUAUUUCCAAAUCAAAAGAAUUUCAUCAUUGGAAAUUAAAAGAAAUACAAAGGCUAGCAUGGUAGUUAGUUUAUCUCCAUAGGGACUUAUAUCAAGAGAACAAAUUAUUAAUGAUAAUCAUAUGAGCUUAAACUAGAUCAUUUUUACAAAAGAAUAAAGAGUGAAAGAAUUAAGAUAACAUGAAAACAAAUUGAUCAAUCAUAACAUCUGCACAUGGAAUAAUAAUAUUAUACAUAAAUCUAUUUGAUAUAAAACAUUGAUAUGUAGAAAAGUCUUAUCAUGAAACGACUUAUCAUUCUUAAUGCACUUAAGAUAGGAUUUCCUAUUUCUUAGUUUAAAUUUGUAAUUAUCUUUUAGAAAAUUAAGAAUCUCACACUUCUAUGAUCAAAUCCAUUCCUAUUCCGAUUCCUAAAACCUCUUUUAAUAGAAAUAGUAGAAAACAAUAGAUGAAUGCAAGGCAUCACAUCCAAUAGAUUCUUCAGCAUGGAAUGAAUAAGUUUUACAAUAAAAAAUAAGAAGGAUUCAAGUUUAAGAUAAAAAAAUAAAAUUAUAAAAAAAAAUUGCAAUUAAAAACAUUACAAAGAAAUGCAUCCUUUCAUUCUUCAAUGCUGCAUCUUGAAAGCUUCUCCAAAGAUCAAUAGGUUUUUAACUCUCCAAAGCAAGACUCACAAACGAAGAAAAUCUCUUAAGGAAAUCAUAAACGAACUCUCUAAUAUCUAAAACUUUAUCUCUCUCCAUGUAACUUCUCUAACUCCCUUCAAAUGACUAGAUAGCAAGCUAUUUAUAAGCAAUUGAUUAGUCUCUAGUCCAAUCACAACUUGCCACGUACUCAAUAUUAAUCAUAAGAAAAUCUAACAACUAAAUCUUCAAUUUUGAUCCCUAUGAUUACAGUUCAUGAAUGGGUAUUGAUACUUCCUAAAAAAAUCUAUACUAACUACGAUAUAAAAUAUACAUUCUCUUCUAGUUAUCAAUAUUCAAUUGGAAAAAAUGAUACAUUAUGAUGCACUGCAAUAAAAGAACCCUGAUGUUAUCAUGUAUUGAAAUUGAUCAUAUCAUAUAUCAAAAUUAAUCAUCUAGUCUUCUAGUGAGUUUCUUAAUUGAAGUCAAUACCAGGUGAUAGCGUGUGAUAUACAAUAGUUCUCAUAUCAAAAUAUGAUUUCGCAUAUCAAAUUAUUGUUCUCGAGAUUCUAGUGAGUUUGUUGCUUUGUCGAGCUUCUCUUCGAUACCAACCAAUACGAAGAAACACCAACCUACUUGUAUCCUAGUAAAUUGAAAUAUGAAUAUGAUAGAAUCAUUGUUCAAAAACUAUGAAUAUAGUCUUGGUAUAGAAGUAUCUAAACUAAUACCAUUGAGAAAUUGAAAUUUGCCUUGCUUCAUCAAAUCAAUACAUCCUUAUAUAUUGCAUUCCAUAUAAAAAAGUCUUUCUAGUUUUAUCGCCAAAUAUCAAAAUGUGCUCUUAGUAUCAAACUGAUGAUCAAUCUCUAAAUUUUUCCUCUUCAACCAUUGGUUAUUAAGCCUUAAUCUUGUUUUCCAUCUUUUAGAUUAAUGUGAAAGUUAUACAACACUUGCAUAAAAUUUUACCAACUUACAACAUGAAUUUCAAAAGAGAUAAUUAGCACAAUUGCUAAUUAUAGGUUAAAGUAGUCAAAUUUUAUGCAAAUAUUCUAAAAAGAUCCCUAGUUAAGUUUUUCAAAUUAUGCAUUUUACACACAAAUACAAUAUCUUAAUGUUUUUCCUUUGAUAUAUAUAGUUAUAGACCUUAAAAUUGUUCCUAGGUCCCUUUUUGUUAAGAAUUUCGAUCCCACCCGCUUUCAUUUUUAUUUUUAAGCCCAUUCCAUUUGAGUUUUCAGCCUACUUUUAGGGCCCAUGUUCAUAUCCAUUAAGAAAAUUAAAUUCUAGCAUUUCAUUUUUUAGUCACAUCCCCACUAUCCGUUAAAAACAAAAAUGCUAAAAGGGCAUUUUACUCUUCAUUUUCGUAUUUGCACUAUACAACCAACCCUUCAUUCUUUUCCUCGUUUUUUUUUUUUUUCCUUUUUUUUUCCCUUCAUUUCUUUCCUUUAUUUUCCUCCCUUUCUCCCUUCCAUAGCUGGUGCCACCUCCAUUUCCAGCAGCAUCCUCUGCCACCUGUCCCUGUCAUCUACCUCGACAAUAUUGCAUUGUUGCUACAACCUAGACCCAUUGUUAGUCAUGCCACAUCUCUCUCUCUCUCUCUCUCUCUCUCUCUCUCUCUCUUUCCCUUCCUGUCUUCUUUUCUUUCCCCUCUUACCAACUCACUAGUUGUUGCCAUUCCUCUGUCUCCAGACAAUAGUCAUGGGUUGCCCGUAAUACCACCUUCCCCACACACCACCAUUAGUCACGCCACACCAUAACCACCUAUGACACCGUGGCCACACCCUAAGCUCCAUGUAAACCCUCAUGCCAUCACCUCUAUCUCCGUCCACAAUGUCGUCACUCCUCUCACUACCACUGCCCAUGGUUGCCACUCUAUCUCCUCACCAUUGAUCACCAUCUUUUUCCAUUGUGCCACCCAUAUCUGACGUAGCAUCAUUGCACUGCCUCUUUACUCUCUCAUUUGGCUAUCUUUGUUAGUUUUUUUUCGAUAAUGUGUGACCAUAUAUAAUUAUAUUUAUAUGAAUAUUAUUUAAGGGUAUUAAUUGAUAGGUAGGUAAAUCAAUUAAUUGGGCAUCCAAGAGUCUUAUGUAUGGAAGACUCAAACUACAAAUGGGGAGUUAGAAAAUUUACUUUAUAUGAAUGUGGUGUUACAACUUUUGUAACCCCAUCAUUAUGAAAUUUAUUUUCUACAUUAUAUUUGAGUAAUGGAGGAAAAUGGAAAAAUAUCCUAUGCAAUUAUAUAGAUGCAUUCAAGUUCGUAACCCACCAUUACCCAUUAAUUUGUACAUAAUGGGUGUAAAUAAUGAGUACAACUCCCAUAUAGUCUUUGAUGGGAAGACUAAGAGAUGUACAACUUUUAUAAAUUGAGGUCCCAAGCCACAUUCUCAUUCUUAUGUCAUUUUUGUUGUUUAUUUUUAACAACUUACAUCACACAAGUGACCCAUCCAUUAUAUGAGAGUAGUGAGUUGAAGACCUUGACAAUUCAAUUCACAAGGUGACUCAAUCUCACUUCAAAAGUGUUAUUGGUAUUAUGGAUUAAGGUAAGAAUAUGAUCAUUAUUUUAGCACUUAUAUUUAUUUUGUUUUAUGCAUCCAAAAUUGUUUUUUAAAAUAAUUAUUUCCGCAUAAAGUUUAUAAAAGUUUGGUUAACAAUCUUUUCCUCAUUUUCGGCUGUUCAAGAGACAUGGGUAAGUCUCAUUGAUUCCUACAACGCAUGUUUGUGGGCUUUGUUUCUUUGGGCUUGAUUAAUUUGAUCUAUAAGUGAGAUAUUGGUUUUAUUCCAUCUGGGCCUUGGGCCAGAUUUUUAUAAUUUGGGUUUAUUGGGCUUUAGUUUAUUAUAUUUUCAUUUGGGCUUUGAUUUUGUUAGAUGUUCUUUUGGGCUUGCAUUUUGUUUUGGGCUCCAACCUAAUUGAAUUUAUUUGAUAUGAAUUUCAUAUAUUUACUUUGGGUUUGCAUUAUUGCUUUAAGAUAUUAUUAUUUAGUUUUGGCCUUUGAAUUCUGACUUAGUCUUACUUUUGUUCAACGUAGUAUUGCAUGAUUUUGCAAGGUAAUCAGGGUAAAUUAUGAUAAAAAUGUAAAAUAAAGAUAUGAACUUUAAAAUUAUUUUUGACUUUAAGUCAUAUCAUUAAGUUAUUUUAUUAAACACACUUAAUUUAACUUUAUUACUUAAAUUAAGUUAUUAAGUUAGUUUAUCAAACGUAAAACUUAAUACUUAUUACUUAACGACUUAAGUUAAUUUUAGGUUAAAUUGUACUUAAGUUGUUGACUUGAAACUUAUUACUUAAUUUUUACUUUAAGUAUUAAAGUUGUUUUAUAAAAUUAAUUAAAAAUUUAUUCUAAAUCAUCAAAUAAAUAUCAAUUAUAACAAACGCAAAGGAGUCAAGUAAUAAUGGAGGUCGUGGAGUAGCAAAAAAGAUUGUGAAGGUAAUUAGGGUAAAUAGGGAUAAAAAGGUAAAAUAAAGAUAUGAACUUAAGAAUAAGUUAAUUGUUUUUAUUUAUCACUUAAAAUCAUUUUUUAUUUUAAGUCAUACUAUUAAGUUAUUUUAUCAAACAUAUUUAAUUUACUUAAUAACUUAAAUUAAGUUAUUAAGUUUGUUUAAGUCAUUAAGUUGGUUUAUCAAACAUUGGGGUGUUUGGUAAAACUUAAUACUUAUUAUUUAAUAAUUUAAGUUUACUUUAAGUUAAAUUAUAUUUAAGUUGUUAACUUAAAAUUUAUUACUUGAUUUUUAUUUUUAAGUAUUAAGGUUGUACGAUAAAAUUAACUUAAAAUUUACUUUAAAUAAUCAAAUUGAUAUAUUUAUCUUUAUAAAUUAUAAUUAAGGUAAAAAGAGUUCAGUAACAAUGGAGGUUGUGAAACAAUAAAAGAAAUCAUAAAGAUAAUUAAGGCAAAUAGAGAUAAUAAAGUAAAAUGAAAAUAUGAAAAAUAAGUUAAUUAUUUUUAUUUAUUACUUAAAAUAAUUUUUGAUUUUAAAUCAUAUCAUUAAGUUAUUUUAUCAAAUAUACUUAAUUUAUUUAAUAAUUUAAAUUAAGUUAUUAAAUCACUUCAAGUUGUUAAGUGGUUUAAUGACUUAAUUUAUCAAAUCACUUAUUCUUUACUAUUCUUUCAUUGGGACUGUCAGAAAGACCUACCACCAAGAGAAGGUCAACAAGAAAUUUUUUGAAAAAUUAACAAAUUCUCCUAAUGAGUUGUUUGUCAUGUGUUUCAUGGGAAAUAUAGAAAAUUAAAGAAAUCCUAUAUAUGUAAAACCAUAAUUGUAACAGACAAAUAAUAAAAGAAAAAGACAGAAAACUAUAAAGGAAGGAAAAUUUACAAUUAAAAUGUUUGAAAGCGCAGACAAUGUAAUCAAUCUCUUAAUUUUCCCAACACCUCCACAGAUUCCCUCUCUUUCUAUAUGUCUAUAUAUAUAUAUAUGCACCUCUUACUUGUAAACCUGUCUGAAUCUUUCUCGGGAGACAAACAGAGAUGGGGUUUGGGGUUCAGGGGUGGUCCUGCAUUUUGAUGGGUGUUGCUGUGAUAUUUUCUAGCACGUGUUUGGCAAGAGGAGUGGGAGAAGGAGAAGGAAAGUGUGAUAUAUAUGAAGAGAGUGGGGAGGUAGAUGAAUCAUAUCCUAUGUAUCAGAAGGGAGUUUGACUGCCAGAAGUACGGACGGCCGGAUAAACUCUACCUCAGAUAUAAAUGGCAGCCCAAGGACUGUGAUUUGCCCAGGUACAAUACCUCUGGAUCUUUCUUUUUCUUUGAAUUUUUUUUUUUGAAAUAUCUCUGUGGACCCCGCAUUUCGGCUCAUGCGCUUCCCACUCGAUGGCGAGUUCGAUUUUUACUUAAAAAAUUGAUUUGUUGAUUAAAAAUGACUUGGAGUCGCCGCUUAUUUUUGUUUUAUAUUUAAAAGGGUAAACAAAAUAAGAAAGAAAACCCUAAGUGUGACUCCUUGUUUUGGAAAAGGUGGUCUGUGAAAAACCGGAUCGGGUUCGGGGGUCAGGUUACUUAUCAGGAAGGUACGGAAAAAAACCGUAGCACCCUUCUAAGUCCCUAAAGUCGGGUCUCUACUAAUAAAAUGAAGUUGACGUGGCAAUUGAUGAGUAAGUCAAUGAAUAUCCUGAAUGAUCAUGCACACGUAAGAAUCGAGACAUGUAUAGACAACGAUUAGAGGGAAAAUGGGUACAUACCUGGGCAACGAGCCACCAUGCGCUAUCCAUAGAGAGGGUUAGUACACCAUAUAGAGCACAAAGCAUAUAACAUGCAUCACUAAACAUGGAUUAGAAUUGUUCGAAGAAAAACUGGAUUUUUGAAAUUCAUUUGAGAAUCAGAAUCUUAUAACUUAUUCGAAAAUUGGAUUCUUAGGAAUUAAAUGUAAGAAUGAGAACUUUUAGAAAUUAAAUUUGAAAGAAAAUUGGGAUUUUGAAGGGUUAUUUGAAAGUUCGGGAUUUUUAAGAAAAAUUAAGUUACGAAGAUCGGGAUUAUGGGAGUUAAAUUUUGAAAGGGAUCGGAAUCUUAAGUUAUUUGAGACAUGGAAAUUAUGAAGGUUGACGUGUAAAAAAUGGAUAUCUUAGAAAUCAUUUGAAGACAAAAUCUAUAGAAAUAAUGAAAUAGAUGAUAAUAAUAAUGACGAUAAUAAGUAACGGGGUAAAUACGGGAAUUGGAGCAUGGGAAACUAGAAAUUAAGUUCGGAGAUAGGACAAUUGGAAAUUCAAAUAGCUAAAUUCAGGAAUCGGAAUUUUGAAGAAUUAGACUCUAAUGAUUGAAAUUUUUAAGAGAAAUAAAUGGGUAAGUAUGGAGUAAUGUUACCGAUUAAUCAAAACGAUAUUUGGGUGGAUGAAUGUAGGAUAAUGAUUCCAAUUGAGUAACAUAAGGUUUAAGCGGAUUAUUGAAAUAUUAAAUUAUCAAAAUAAAUAUGGGAUAAUGAUCCUAAUAGAUGAAAAUAAGGUUUAAACGAAAUAUUGAAAAAUUAGGUUAAGGCACGAGAUUUUCGAAGGAUUAGACUUUAAAUAGAUAGGUAAAUCGAGGUGGAUAAUUCUAAUGAAUGAAAAAUGAGAUUUGAACUAAUUAUUGAAGAAUUAAGUUAAGGCAUGGGAUUUUCGAAGGAUUAGACUUUAAAUAAGUAAAGGAACAUAGGAUACUAAUUCUAAUUAAAGAAAAUAACAUUUAGACAAAUAGUGGGGUUUUAGGAUUGAGAAUUAAAUUAUGACAUUGGAUCUUUUAAAAGGGGCGGAUUUUGGAUAAAUAAACUAAUAUAGGAUGAUAAUACUAAUUAACGAAAAUAAUCAUUUAAACCGAAUAAAAAGAAUAGUGGAAUUUUUAGGGGUUUGAAAAUUAAAUUAGGACAUCUGNNNNNNNNNNNNNNNNNNNNNNNNNNNNNNNNNNNNNNNNNNNNNNNNNNNNNNNNNNNNNNNNNNNNNNNNNNNNNNNNNNNNNNNNNNNNNNNNNNNNNNNNNNNNNNNNNNNNNNNNNNNNNNNNNNNNNNNNNNNNNNNNNNNNNNNNNNNNNNNNNNNNNNNNNNNNNNNNNNNNNNNNNNNNNNNNNNNNNNNNNNNNNNNNNNNNNNNNNNNNNNNNNNNNNNNNNNNNNNNNNNNNNNNNNNNNNNNNNNNNNNNNNNNNNNNNNNNNNNNNNNNNNNNNNNNNNNNNNNNNNNNNNNNNNNNNNNNNNNNNNNNNNNNNNNNNNNNNNNNNNNNNNNNNNNNNNNNNNNNNNNNNNNNNNNNNNNNNNNNNNNNNNNNNNNNNNNNNNNNNNNNNNNNNNNNNNNNNNNNNNNNNNNNNNNNNNNNNNNNNNNNNNNNNNNNNNNNNNNNNNNNNNNNNNNNNNNNNNNNNNNNNNNNNNNNNNNNNNNNNNNNNNNNNNNNNNNNNNNNNNNNNNNNNNNNNNNNNNNNNNNNNNNNNNNNNNNNNNNNNNNNNNNNNNNNNNNNNNNNNNNNNNNNNNNNNNNNNNNNNNNNNNNNNNNNNNNNNNNNNNNNNNNNNNNNNNNNNNNNNNNNNNNNNNNNNNNNNNNNNNNNNNNNNNNNNNNNNNNNNNNNNNNNNNNNNNNNNNNNNNNNNNNNNNNNNNNNNNNNNNNNNNNNNNNNNNNNNNNNNNNNNNNNNNNNNNNNNNNNNNNNNNNNNNNNNNNNNNNNNNNNNNNNNNNNNNNNNNNNNNNNNNNNNNNNNNNNNNNNNNNNNNNNNNNNNNNNNNNNNNNNNNNNNNNNNNNNNNNNNNNNNNNNNNNNNNNNNNNNNNNNNNNNNNNNNNNNNNNNNNNNNNNNNNNNNNNNNNNNNNNNNNNNNNNNNNNNNNNNNNNNNNNNNNNNNNNNNNNNNNNNNNNNNNNNNNNNNNNNNNNNNNNNNNNNNNNNNNNNNNNNNNNNNNNNNNNNNNNNNNNNNNNNNNNNNNNNNNNNNNNNNNNNNNNNNNNNNNNNNNNNNNNNNNNNNNNNNNNNNNNNNNNNNNNNNNNNNNNNNNNNNNNNNNNNNNNNNNNNNNNNNNNNNNNNNNNNNNNNNNNNNNNNNNNNNNNNNNNNCCCCAAAAAAAGGGGGGAAAAAAAAAAAAAAAAAAAAAAAAUCCCAAAAAAAAACCUCUCCCCCGGGGGGGGGGGGGGGGGGGGGGUCUACAAAUAUGCCCCUCUUUGAUAGAGUUCACAAGUGUAAGGAGCGUGAACACUAGAGUGAAAAAGAAGUGUGAAAAGUGAGUGAAAUGAAGUGAACUCUAUCAAAGAACAAAGAAAGACCCCCGAACCCAAAAGGUACAAGUAGAACACAAACUCACUCGAGGCUCUAAAAUUCUAAAAGGCUCAAGGCACCUCUAAAGCUGCAUCGAGGACCCAGACUCCCUCUAAGACAUCUCUACAAGCGACCCAAGAGAUCAACGUCAAAGAUGAGUAAUUGUCGAACCACCCUGGAGUACGAGAAAGAAUGCGCCCAAAGGGGACUACCCUAUGCGGACUACGAGAUGAAUAGACGAUAAACACAGGAUAACGGAGUAAGGAAAAACCGAGGGACAAUGCAAAACCAUGAAGGCAAGAUGCGCAAAGCCAGUGGAUAUGAACGCCAGGAGUUGUGACUUUGGAGGACAAGGCUGACUCUAAACACUAAACUAAGAAAAACGACGGCUCUGGAAGCCAGGCCAAAAAGCUAACUCUAAGCGCUAAACUAGAAAAUAACAGCUCUGGAAGCCAACCAAAAACUAACUCUAAAAGCUAAAUUAGAAAAUAACAGCUCUGGAAGCCUAAACAAGACGACAGCGAUGGCUAAACAAGACGACGGUGAUGGCUCUGGAAGCCUAAAUGAGACGACAGUGAUGGCUCUAGAAGCCUAAAUGAGACGACAGUGAUGGCUUUGGAAGCCCAAACGAGACGAUAGUGAUGGCUCUGGAAGCCUAAAUGAGACGACAGUAAUGGCUCUGGAAGCCUAAACAAGAUGACAGUGAUGACUCUGGAAGCCUGAAUGAGACGACAGUAAUGGCUCUGGAAGCCUAAACAAGACGACAGUGAUGGCUCUGGAAGCCUGAAUGAGACGACAGUAAUGGCUCUGGAAGCCCAAACGAGACGAUAGUGAUGGCUCUGGAAGCCUAAAUGAGACGACAGUAAUGGCUCUGGAAGCCUAAACAAGACGACAGUGAUGGCUCUGGAAGCCUGAAUGAGACGACAGUAAUGGCUCUGGAAGCCCGAAUGAGACGACAGUAAUGGCUCUGGAAGCCUAAACAAGACGACAGUGAUGGCUCUGGAAGCCUGAAUGAGACGACAGUAAUGGCUCUGGAAGCCUAAACAAGACGACAGUGAUGGCUCUGGAAGCCUGAAUGAGAUGACAAUAAUGGCUCUGGAAGCCUAAACAAGACGACAGUGAUGGUUCUGGAAGCCCGAACGAGACGAUAGUGAUGGCUCUGAAAGCCUGAAUGAGACGACGGUGAUGGCUCUGGAAGCCUGAACAAGACGACAGUGAUGGCUCUGGAAGCCCAAAUGAGACGAUAGUGAUGGCUCUGGAAGCUUAAAUGAGAUGACAGUAAUGGCUCUAGAAGCCUAAACAAGACGACAGUGAUGGCUCUGGAAGCCUGAAUGAGACGACAGUAAUGGCUCUGGAAGCCUAAACAAGACGACAGUGAUGGCUUUGGAAGCCUGAAUGAGAUGACAGUAAUGACUCUGGAAGCCCAAACGAGACGAUAGUGAUGGCUCUGGAAGCCUAAAUGAGACGACAGUAAUGGCUCUGGAAGCCUAAACAAGACGACAGUGAUGGCUCUAGAAGCCUAAAUGAGACGACAGUAAUGGCUCUGGAAGCCCGAAUAAAAAAACUAACUCUAAAAGCUAAACAUGAAAAUAACAGCUCUGGAAGCCAACAAAAAAACUAACUCUAAAAGCUAAACUAGAAAAUAACAGCUCUGAAAGCCAAACAAAAAACUAACUCUAAAAGCUAAACUAGAAAAUAACAGCUCUGGAAGCUAACCAAAAAAACUAACUCUAAAAGCUAAACUAGAAAAUAACAGCUGUGGAAGCUAACCAAAAAACUAACUCUAAAAGCUAAACUAGAAAAUAAUAGCUCUGAAAGCCAAACAAAAAACUAACUCUAAAAGCUAAACUAGAAAAUAAUAGCUCUGAAAACCAAACAAAAAACUAACUCUAAAAGCUAAACUAGAAAAUAACAGCUCUGGAAGCUAACCAAAAACUAACUCUCAAAGCUAAACUAGAAAAUAACAGCUCUGGAAGCCACUAAAAACUAACUUUAAAAGCUAAACUAGAGAAUCCAUAGGUGAAAACCUACGGUGGCGAUACAAUAAAAAUGCCCAUAGACGCCAAUCUAUGGUGGUGAAACUCUCAAAGGCCCACAGAUAAAAAUCUAUGGUGGUGAUAACCGAAACAAAUGCUCAUAGAUGAAAAUCUAUGAUGGUGAAUCUGAAAUGCCCGUAGAUAGCUAAUCCAUGGUGGUGAAAUAACUGAAAUGCCCAUAGACGUCCGAUCUAUGGUGGUGAUAAACAAAACAAAUGCCCAUAGAUGAAAAUCUAUGAUGGUGAAUCUGAAAUGCCCAUAGAUGUCUGAUCUAUGGUGGUGAUAAACGAAACAAAUGCUCAUAGAUGAAAAUCUAUGAUGGUGGAUCUGAAAUGCCCAUAGAUAGCUAAUCCAUGGCGGUGAAAUAACUGAAAUGCCCAUAGAUGUCUGAUCUAUGGUGGUGAUAAACGAAACAAAUGCUCAUAGAUGAAAAUCUAUGAUGGUGGAUCUGAAAUGCCCAUAGAUAGCUAAUCCAUGGUGGUGAAAAAUCUUAAACAAAGGGGGAUGCCCUAAACAGACUAAAAAAAUAGGGGGAUGCCCUAAACAAGAUGACGGUAGGGGGAUGCCCUGAACGAAAUGACAGUGGGGGGAUGCCCCAAACGAAAAUGACAGUGGGGGGAUGCCCCAAACGUAAAUGACAGUGGGGGAUGCCCCAAACGAAAAUGACAGUGGAGGGAUGCCCCAAACGAAAAUGACAGUGGGGGAUGCCCCAAACGUAAUGACAGUGGGGGGAUGCCCCAAACGUAAAUGACAGUGGGGGGAUGCCCCAAACGUAAAUGACAGUGGGGGGAUGCCCCAAACGAAAAUGACAGUGGGGGGAUGCCCCAAACGAAAAACGCUAAAGGGGGUAUGCCCCAGUAUGACGACUCGCAAAGAUCAAGAAAUGGACUGAGUAGUGAGAAAGAUGUGCAAAACAGUCGAUGUACUCAAAGAUAGGGGUAUACCCCAGUGUGGCAUGCCACUGCAAAUCUCAAUCCGCUGGAAAUGGCUGAAAGGGACUCUACGAGUCUCAAACGACGCUCCGCUAAGAGCUCAGGAAUAAUGGUCAGUGAGGCGAAUACAAUAUAUCUCGAUCGAGUGAUGGAAACUGUAACGGAUAUGUGAGAGAACGAUCGCCUCCGGGGCUAAAUGAAGGCAAUAUACCCCAGUAUGACAUCAGAUGUACCCAAUCUGUCCUGAUGACCCGAGAAUAACACCAAUGGGACGCGUAACAGAUCUGAUAUGUACCCCUCUGAAAUGACGACGCGGGAAAUCCAGGCACCAGAGACAACUCCAUCCAGGAAUCACGACUACAUCAAAGGGUAUGAAUCUGGCUGAAUGACUCAAGAGAGGCUCCUCGGAGUAUUCGGACAAAAUGAAAUCAAACAUCGACCUGGCGUGUAUCUCAUAACCGUGGAUGAUCAUGUAAACCAGUGGGGAUCUAUAAAUCUCGAUCAAGAUGGGGAAUAUGUCCCAAUGUAAUACGUCGAAAAAUCAAAUGAGCUCAGGUCAUCCAUGCCUAGCUAGAUGGCUCUCGAUAGGCUCCACUAAGGAAUCAUCGUGAGGAUAGCGAAUAUAUCAUCAUCUCUGCACACAUCUCGCCAAAUAAGGAUAAACACGCGACCCCCUCAUGAUCUGUAAAUCUCAUCCGAACCGAAAUAUGCCCCUGUAUGGUAUCGAAAUGUAUGAUAGGUCGGAGAUCAGAUAGCAUGGAAUCAUCUAUCCUCAAACAUGUGACCUCUGCGAAGAUCCAUAAAGAUCCUCCGAAACGAAAUAUGCUCCAGUAUGGCAUCAGGUGCGCAACAGGUCCGAAUAACAAACGUCAUGAAAUCAUCCAUCAUCGCACAUGUGACCUCCAUGAAAGUCCGUAAAUCUCAUCCGAAACGGAAAAUAUGCCCCAGUAUGGGCAUCGGAUGCACGACAGGUCAGAAAUCGAGCGACACGAAAUCAUCUGUCAUCGAACAUGUAACAAUGGUCGUCUGAAUCCAUAACUGAAUCAUGCACACAUAUCCAAAAUGUACCUCCUAGGUGGAGAGGCAUGAUGGAAUCCAAGUGUCGAGAAGUGCGGACCCGGCUGGGUGGAUCUCAGAGGCUCCGUAAGGUAACGAUCAUGUCCACGUCUCGAUGAGCAUCCAGUAAGUGAUGAUCGCGCAAGUCCGUGAGGAUCCAUGAACCUCUAAAUGAAAUGGGAUAUGCCGCAAUGUGGCAUCAAGAGGUACGAUAUGUCAAAAAAAUCAGGUGACACCAAAUCAAUCAUCAUCAAACUCACGAUCCUGGUAAUCCGAACACAACUGAAUCAGACCUAAACAUCAAAGAGGCGACUCCCAAAAGAAGAAGCAUGGCGAUAUCUAAACAUCAACCAGAUCUCAAUCACUUGUCCAAGUAGAGGCUGCCGAAGACGACAUCUGAUCCCAUGGCCUCAGGGUGGUCUUAAGACACGGGACGUAACGUAGGCCAAGGUGAUAGGGUGAUAGAAAUGAAAGAAAACUAGGCUCAAAUACCCAAUGAUCAAAACUCAUGCCCUCAUAUAUGAAAUGCAACAUGUAUAGUGAACCUCAUGAGCCAUGGACCUGAGGAUGCCUAAUGUGAAUAUGAUAUCGAUAAGGAGACAAAUGAAGCAAAAUGAACUGGUAGUGAUAUGUGUAAUGAUGAUGCGAAGUAUCGAACCCGAGAUGGGUCACUGUAAGGGGAGAAUAAGAUGUGAAGGGAAUGAGAUGAAUCACAAGCAACGAUAAAAACGACAGCGAAACAAUGGAUAUGUGAAGAAAGGUAGUGAUCGACUCAGAUCAAACAUGAAGUGAAGUCACAUCAAUAAUGAAUGUAAUGAUGGGAAGGACAAUGACUCGGAGUCCUUAGGAGAAGGUCACUCAUCUCUCUCACAAAUAGAUAUGACGAAGUAAUACAAAUAACAUGGGAUCUCAGAGAGCUCACAUACGAACUCCCAAUAACGAACAUACUCGAUAAAAAUGACCCCCAGACAUCAAUAUACAUACCCAAUGAUCGAGAACACUAUGCACAUACACACAUGUGCUAAUAAUAAUAAUAAUGAUUUUUUUUUUUUUUUUUUUUUUUUUUUUUUUUUUACAUAUAUACAAAUACGCGUACCCUGAACGUGAACAAAUGAACCCCAAAGAUGAUAUCGAUAACAAAUAAACACACCCCCAAGUGAUAAGGCAACCCAAAACUCUCUCUAACGAGAUGACCUUCUCAAACUAAGGAUCUCUAAACCAAUGUCCGUGAGAUAGAUGGUGGAAAUGAUGUGACUAUCCUCCAUGUGAUGAACUGAGGAGGCUCACCACUCAGGGUGGAGAGAAUAUGAGACAAACAAAUAGUAGAUAGGAUAAAGAAGAAGAGAUGAAUAACACAACCAAUAAGAUGAGAUGAAAGUGCAGAGGUGCAGUGAUAGGAAAAGAUGAUGAGAAAAACAUGCCCCUAGGUCCAAGGCUCAUGAAACUACCAAACAAUGCAUGCAUACAUUAAAGGGCCCUUAUCCUGGUGUGAAAAUGUGAGCAAGGCGAUAAGAAAGAAAGGCUAUAAUGUGCAUGCGAGGCUCAAUGGGCUAGCAACGGACUAUGUAUCAAAAGGGAAUAACAAGGUAAUGGCUAACCGAAAUGAUGGCCACCCAUCCUGCGACCAUGGUCUCAAACAUAGUACCUCUUUAGCUGAUCCACAUUGGUUGGCUCUGAGAAUCGGUUUCCAUCUAAAUCCAUCAACCAUGCAGCGCCCUUUGGGGUCAACUCCCUGAUGAAAUAAGGUCCGCUCCAGUUGGGUCUGAACUUCCCUCUAGGAUCCCUGAUCAAUCCCCUGAUGACUUUCAGAACCAAGUCACCAAUCUGUAAUGGUCUGGGCCUGACCCGCUUUUUGAAAGCGCGGGCCAUCUUCCUCUGAUACGCACGAACAUGGUCUGCUGCUCUCAAUCUCCUCUCAUCUAGGAGAUUGAGCUGAUCAAAUCGAGCCUGAGCCCAAUCUGCCUCGGGAAUCUGCUGCUCUAAUGCUACUUUCAACGAACCCAUCUCAAUCUCAACGGGUAGCAUGGCCUCCAUGCCAUAUACCAAGGAGUAGGGUGUGGCGCCUGUAGAGGUGUGAAAAGAAGUCCGAUAAGCCCACAAUGCAAAUGGGAGCUUCUCUGACCAAUCCCGAGAAGUCUCGACCAUCCUCCGUAAUAUCCUCUUGAUAUUCUUAUUCGCGGCCUCUACUGCCCCAUUCGUCUGUGGCCUGUACGCAGACGAUCUAUGAUGCCGGAUGCUGUAUCUCUGUACUAAGGUGUCAACUUCUGCUCUGAAAUGUACCCCUCUAUCCGAAAUCAACUCAUGGGGGACUCCAUAGCGACAGAUAAUGUGUGAUCUGAUAAAACUAGCAACUCCAGCUGAUGUCAAUCUCGCAUAUGAGGCGGCCUCCACCCACUUGGUGAAGUAAUCGAUGGCGACCAGGAUAAACUCAUGACCACUGGAAGAUUUCGGUGAAAUCUUCCCAAUGAUAUCAAUACCCCAGACGGAAAAUGGCCAUGGUGAAGUCAGUGCAUGCAGCUCGGAGGGCGGCACGUGAAUGAGAUCUCCGUGUAUCUGACACUCGGGACACCUCUGAACAAACUGGCAGCAAUCUGUCUCCAUGUUCAACCAGAAGUAUCCUGUCCUCAUGAUCUUACGAGCCAACAUAUGUCCUCCCAUAUGUGGUCCGCAGACUCCCGCAUGAACCUCUCUCAUCACCCGGUCGGUAGAGGCGCGGUCCAAACACAAUAAUAGCAUCCCGUCAGGUGAUCGCCUGUACAGUGUCUCGCCGCAAAUCACGAAUCGAGUGGCCAACUGUCUCAAUGCUCUCUUAUCCUUGGCCGUGGCGGCCUCAGGAUAUACGCCGAGUCUCAAAAAGUGAUAUAUGUCGUGAUACCAUGGCAAACCAUCAUCUGGCUCUACAUCAUCGAUCAGGCAACAGUAAGCAGGAGCAGAUCUCGACUCGAUCAACAGAGGUCGAACAGUGGCAUCAACGGGAAUAUCGAUCAUGGAAGCUAGAGUAGCUAAAGCAUCAGCAAACUGGUUCUGCGCUCUAGGCAGAUGGGUAUAUCUCAAAUCAUCAAAUCUCCCAACCAGUAGCUCCAAAUAUGCAUGAUAAGGCUUAAGCUUCACAUCUCUAGUCUUCCACUCGCCCUAAAUCUGUCUCAAUACCAGAUUGGAGUCACCAAACACCUCCAUCUGUCUAAUCCCGAGCUCGAGGGCCGUCUCUAAUCCCAAGAUACAAGCCUCAUACUCAACAAUGUUGUUCGUGGUAGGAUGUCGAUCCGAGAAUGCCAAACGAACUGAUCUGGGAAUGUGAUCACCGUGAGGGGAUAUCAACAAGACGCCUAUCCCAUAUCCAGAAUGGUUGGCCGCGCCAUCAAAGUACAUGUGCCAACCUGACAGACUAGUCACAGCAGCGACAUCCUCGUCUGGAAAAUCAUCGUCAAUAGCUCUGGCAUCAGAAACUGGUAAUGAGGCUAGAUGAUCUGCUACAAUGCUCCCUCUGAUGGACUUCUGAGUGACAUAAUGGAUGUCAAACUCAAUAAGAAGUACCAGCCAUCUCAUAAGGCGACCAACCAGAGCGGGUCUGUCAAACAAAUAUCUCAGAGGAUCCAGGCGAGAUAUCAAAUGCACAGAAUACUCGGUCAUGUAAUGUCUCAAUCGGCGAGUGACCCAAACCAAUGCCAAGCAAUAACGCUCAAUCAUGACAUACCUCAUCUCGUAGUCUAACAUCCUCUUACUCAAAUAGUAAAUGGCUCGAUCCUUGCCCGAAUCAUCGAGCUGAGCUAACAUGCAACCCAAGGCCACGUCUGAUACGGACAAGUAUAAGAGUAGAGGACGACCUGGUGUAGGAGGCGCCAAAACAGGAGGUGACAACAAGUACUCCCUGAUCCUCUCGAAGGCACGCUGGCACUGGUCAUCCCAAACAGUAGGUUGACUCUUCCUCAAGAGUCGAAAUAUGGGCUCACAGAUGUCUGUCAAUCUGGCUAAGAAUCUACUGAUAUACUGAAGUCUGCCCAGGAAGCCUCUGACCUCUCUCUCUGUCCUCGGCGCAGGCAUGUCAAGAAUGGCUCUAAUCUUGUCCGGAUCUACCUCUAUGCCUCGCUCACUGACCAUGUAUCCCAAGAGUUUCCCAGAAAUCACUCCGAAAGUGCACUUCUUGGGAUUCAGUCUCAAUCUGAACUGUCUGAUCCUCUCAAAGAACCUCUCAAGAGCUGUCAAGUGAUCUGAUCUAUCUCGGGAUUUCACUAUCAUGUCGUCUACGUAAACCUCGACAUCCCGAUGCAUCAUGUCAUGGAAAAGUGUGGUCGCUGCUCUCUGAUAUGUGGCUCCUGCGUUCUUCAAUCCGAAUGGCAUGACUCUAUAGCAAUAAGUACCCCACUCGGUAAUGAAGGACGUCUUCUCCAUGUCCUCUGGAGCCAUCAAGAUCUGACUGUACCCGAAAAAUCCGUCCAUAAAGGACAACAUCGAAUGACCCGUCGUACUGUCAACUAACAUGUCGAUGUGUGGAAGAGGAAAAUCAUCCUUAGGACUAGCCUUGUUGAGAUCUCGGAAAUCAACACAGACUCUUACCUUGCCGUCCUUCUUGGGAAUAGGGACGACAUUGGCCAGCCACUCCGGGUACUCAACCACUGAUAAGAAUCCUACACUGAGCUACUUCUGGAUCUCCUCUUUCACCUGCAAGCUCCAACGAGGGUGUAAUCGUCUCAACUUCUGCUUAACCAGUCUGGCCUGGGGCAGAAGUGGCAAACGAUGCUGGACGAUAGAUGGAUCAAGGCCUGGCAUGUCCUCAUAGGACCAUGCGAAAACGUCUAAGUAGGAUCUGAGUAGCUAGAUGAGGCUAUCUCUCUCAUCUGUAGACAAAUCCGAUCCGAUCCUCAACUCCCUAGGCUGAUCUGCCGUGCCAAAGUCAACAAUCUCGCUGUCCCCUACAGCAGGUGAAACUCUCUGAUCAACGGGGUCUGAAUCGAAAGCAAAAGACGAGUCAUCGUCUAAGUCGUGCUGCGCAACCUCAUCAUCAAUGUCAAAAAUCUAUGAUGUGGGUGAAGAUGGUGCAGAUAAAUCAAUAACAUGAGAGACAGGCAAAUACUCAAAGGUGCUCAAAUCCAUAGAUGAAAAGUCAGAAACAUAGUCAUGACGGGAGACAAAUCCCGAUAAAACAUCAAAGGGGAGAGGUGGGUCCACAAGGUCGGACGCUCCCUCAACUAGGCCAACAGGGCCAUCAAACACAUCAACAGCAACUAUAACAUCCUCGACGACCUCUGGAGUGGGGUCAACCUGGAUCUCCUCGGCGAUCUCGAGGACGGACACCCCAAAGAGAUCAAAUGGUGAAGCGAGCUCCGGCGGGGCUAUCUCCUCAGUCUGGCCCAAGCUCAUCGCGAGCAUCUCAUCAACGUACUCAUCACGCGGCACGGCUCCAUCCACUACGUCUCCAAUCUAUGCAAAAGUCCCGUGAUCAUCGAUCUCAUCCGGGAAGCAAAGCGUCAUAAGGCUCGUGCGAUCUGGGGAGGAAGGAGCAAUCAACACAGAAGCCGAAGGGCUAGGGGCUCCGUCACUCAACUGUAACUGCUGGACGAGGCACUGAAGCUCGGCCUCCUGGGUGGUGCUGAGUCCUCCGAUGAUCCCAUCAGAUGGUGCAUGUGACUCCGAUGCCCUCACAAAGUAAUCAAAUAAGCUCCUGGCGUAUGGGCGAAGAGGAUAGUCGAAAGGCGUGUGGGUCAGCCGAGCCCUCACUCUCUCCCUACGCAAACGCGCCAUGUAUCGAUAGUCAGCCUCGGUGGGGAUGAACCCAAGCCCAAAUGGUAUGUCAUGAUCAGGAAUGGUGAUUAACUCGCUCGGUCCAUGCUGACGUCAACCCAACCCCAUGCCGGGUAGAUAGGACAUGCCUCUCAUGAUAUCAAGCACCACUGUGCUCCCAUGUUGGUCAAAGGACAUAGCGAUGAAGUCCAGGCAAAAGUCUCCCAGUCUGUACCUCAUCAAAAGUGAACCCGGUCAGUAGUAAAUCAUCAUCACUGUGGCUGAUCUGGAGCACGGGCUCAGCGGAAAUGAACAUGUCCCCUGCCGACUGUACGACGACUACCUGGCCCUCAUGGAUGAACUUCACUUUCUGAUGAAGUGAAAAAGGAAUGGCUCCAGCUCGAUGAAUCCACGGUCGGCCCAAAAGCAGGUUAAAGGAUGUAGGAAUCCUCAAAACCUGAAACACGGCGACAAAAGUGGCUGGACCAAUCAGCAACUCGAUCUCCAAUGUACCCAUGACCUCCCUCCGAGUACUGUCAUAAGCUCGGACGGUCUGAGUGGAGGGACUGAAAUCAGAAGGAGCGUAUCUAAGAGCGAUGGCGGUGGCCAGAGGACAUACGUUCAGGGCUGAGCCAUUGUCCAGAAGGGCAGAUGGAACUCGACGACCUGAAAAGCCAACAGAUAUAUAGAGAUGACGCGUGUGGUCUGAACCCUCUGGUGGCAAGUCAUCAUCGGAAAAGACGAUGCAAGUGGCUCUGCCGGCCGUCAUCAUAUGGAUCAAUCCCUCGGGGGAGGUGGUAGUCUCGACUCGGAUCUGGCUCAAAGCCCGAAUCAGAGCAUCACGAUGAAUGCUCGAGGACGCCAACAGGCUCCAAAUGGAAAUACGAGCCUGAGUGCUCCGCAACUGUCUCAAGAUCUCAUCGUCCUCGGCUUUGACCUCCUCGGGAGCGGACGUACCCUCAAUUGGCCUAGCUGCCGCGGGAGGUGGCUGUCGCAUCACUCUGCCUCCUCGGAAAACAUACUGAAUGUCCAGAGUCUGAGAAUCAUCAUUGUGUGGAGCCUGAAACUCCUCAACAUCUGGGACUAAGACGAACGACGUCUGAAUGCUAUAGCGCGGCAAGAUCAAUGGCUCAACGGUGGCAGCCUGCACUGACGCCGCCUCGGGAACUAAUCGGAAUGAAGCAGGCGUCCGAGGGCCCAGAGUCACCCCACUCAUCUCAUAAAUCACAUCUGGCAUGAUGGGCUCCGGGUCUGGAUCAUCACCACUCAGCAUGUGGAUGUGGUCAUCGAUCUCAUCAAACUCCAAGAAAUGAAUGCCAUCAGCUGGUGGAGGGAUUGCAUGCGUGGUGUGAGCAGGCAACGGGUUUGUGGUCACACUCGGCUGACCCAAGUGCACCAAACCCUGGUCGAUCAAAUCCUGAACGGCAUGCCUCAAAGCGGUGCAUCGAUCUGUCUCAUGUCCAGGCCCCUGAUGGUAUGCACAAUGUAGAUCCAUCCUGAACUGAGGUGGAAUCGAUUGAGGCGGCGGCCGAGGGGUGUGAGUAGUCAAUAACCCAGCCUCUGUAAGCUUCCGAAGAGUCUGGCUCAACGGCAUGCCUAUAUGUGAGAACUGCCUUUGCGUCCUCAAAGCAAAGGGAGCAGAAGUCUGCUGAGCUCUGGGUCGGGGAUAAGGCGCUGCGGGUCUCGCAGUGAACUGAGCAGCGUAGCAUGGCUGUCCUGUAGCCGUGUAGGAAACCGAGGGUCUCUCAAUGCCCUGGGAGGCAUAAUAAGGCAAAGCCAAAGUCUGCGGAGUAUAUGUCUGAUCAUAAGCUGGACGAGGUGCCCGUGGCCUGUACUGAUGAGAUGCAUAGGACGAAUGAGGCUCGGGAAACUGUGGGAUCGGCUGAUGGCGCCUGAGAGGCCUCUGACUGGAAGAACUGAUAACGCUCACAUCUGUUGGCCUCGAUCCUACGAAGGGCUUCUUCCCCUUAAUAUCACUAAGGGAAGAAUCUGUCCAUAAUCCUCUCGAGAUGCCGUCCUCGACAUCGUACAGAGCCAUAACCAGAGACCCAAAAUCUGUGAACGGGGCCCCUACCACAUGUCUGGCGAUCCGUGGCUGCAGGCUCCUCAAAACCAUCUGAAUCUGGUCCCUCUCUGAUGGUCUAUCGAUAAUCUCAGCUAUCUUCCCGCGCCAGCGGGAAAUGAACGAAGAAACUGACUCGUCCGAUCUCUGCCUAAGAGCCUCUAGCUCUCUCCUCGAUACGUCUACGACAGUGUUAAACGAAAACUGUCGUAGGAACUCCUGGGCCAAGUCGUCCCAUGUGCGGCGCCUCGAGGCCUCCAAAGAUGCAAACCAACGCUGGGCCGCCCCACUCAAAGAUAGUGGGAAAAGAGUAAUCAUCUGAGGCUCGUCCAGUCCAUGAGCCCUCAUCACGGUGCUGUAUAAUCGGAGAUGGAGGCGUGGACAACCAAUGCCAGUAUACCUCUCAAUGUCAGGCAUCCUGAACUUAGCCGGCAAGCUAGCUACCGGCACUCCAUCAAAACCCUCCCAAGUAGUGGCUCUGUCUGAAGCCCUCAAUUGUCGCAAACCCUGCUCAAGUCUAUCCAUGCGAGCAUGUGGGUCCUCUGAGGUCGGGGUGAGCGCGGUGAUGGGAGGCAGGGCAACCCCGGUCUGACUAUGCAGAGUGAACGGCAUGGCCUGUGGCGCUGACUGACUGGGUGGAGGAGGUGGUGGCACUGUAGGGUCAUACUGGGCACCAACCGGGGGCGGGACCUGCUGGGCCUACUGCCCAUCUAUCCUCCGGCCAAGGCUAGCUAUAGCCUCCUGAAUCGAAGCCAUGGCCUCAGCGAACUGAUGGACGGUAACUAUCUGUGAAUUCAUAUCCCUCUGAUCUGAUCUCUGGUCUAACCAGUCCGAUACCCUGAUCAAUCUACCCCCAACUCUAAUCCAAGAAGUCGAUCCCAGACUGAACGUAUCGGUACUCCUACAAUAGUGAAAAUACUAGAUAAGGUGCGGGGUAAGGGAAACUUCACAAAGAAUGUCUAUCAAAUGUGUCAAAAGGUAGCCUGGAAGCGAACAAACCGAUAUCCAACCCUGAGCAGGUAUAUAAGAGACUACUGCGAAGGUAACCAAACCUGUUACUACUGAAACGGCUCUGAAGGCCCACGGAUGCACCCACGUGUAGGGAGGGAGUCCUAAUUGAAGGAUCUACGACUCAACCUACAAGGUGAAGGUGGCUCUAAAUGGAUACGGGUGGACUUUAAAAGAUCCCUAGCAGAAGCGAUCAUACCCUCCAGCAGUACGCAACCCUCUACACGCCUCAAAGAGAGACGGGGUGCUUCCAUGCAAGGUGGUCAUCACCUCCACACAUGCACUACCUCGACACCCCAGGGGGUUUCCUAUGGUGAAAUCUCUCAAACUCUCAACGCUCAAUGGUCAACUAAAGUGCAUAGUGAAUGGUGUGGGUGCAUCCGAAAACCCUAAGGAUCUAGAGCAGAAGAUGAAACACACUGGUCGCACGACUAUCCAUGAAACCUAGCUCGGGGCUAUACAGGUCUUCAAUGAUCGGACUCCAAUCGACAUCAAAGUGUCGCUCUCCUCCAGAAUGCUCUCGUGCAUCGAUAUAGCCCGUCGCUAGACCCUACUCCUAAUCUCGGGCUCGGUCAGAGAGCAAGCACACAGAAUGUCUCACACUUGCAAUAGUGAGAACUGAGAUGAAAGGAAUGACCGAAACCAAGAGAGUUGGAGGUAGGGGGAUAGAAGUGAGACCCACAUAGACAGACGACAUGCAAUCAUGCAGAGGGAGGGCAGUCAUGCAUCAUACAGUCAGACAGAGCAGGAUAUAUCACUCAUAUACACACAAGAUAAGCGAAAAUACGACAAUCAAGACGAAUAGUGAUACAAACAUCAUGCUCAAAGACGGUCAAAACAGUAUUACAAGUCAGAGAAUCAACAUGUCAAGUCGAGUGAUAUACAGUGGUGAGUGUAUGCAUGUGAAGUGAUCAGGACAAGCAUGGAAAAAUCAGAAUCAAUGUGCUAAUCAAUGCAAUAAGAUCAAUCAUCGAUAAUCCAACAUGUCAAAAUCUCGAAUGAACACGACAUCUAAGCAUGCAUCAAGAAAUCCUCAAUGUGCAAUCAAGAGAUGAGCAUCCACUGAUCGUCCAAUCAAAUGCCACGUUUGCUUCACUCUAAGUUCAAGCUUGACCCUCUAAAAAAAAUUCCCCAGCGGAGUCGCCAUUUUGUGGACCCCGCAUUUCGGCUCAUGCGCUUCCCACUCGAUGGCGAGUUCGAUUUUUACAUGAAAAAUUGAUUUGUUCAUUAAAAAUGACUUGGAGUCGCCACUUAUUUUUGUUUUAUAUUUAAAAGGGUAAACAAAAUAAGAAAGAAAACCCUAAGUGUGACUCCUUGUUUUGGAAAAGGUGGUCUGUGAAAAACCCGAUCGGGUUCGGGGGUCAGGUUACUUAUCAGGAAGGUACGGAAAAAAACCGUAGCACCCUUCUAAGUCCCUAAAGUCGGGUCUCUACUAAUAAAAUGAAGUUGACGUGGCAAUUGAUGAGUAAGUCAAUGAAUAUCCUGAAUGAUCAUGCACACGUAAGAAUCGAGACAUGUAUAGACAACGAUUAGAGGGAAAAUGGGUACAUACCUGGGCAACGAGCCACCAUGCGCUAUCCAUAGAGAGGGUUAGUACACCAUAUAGAGCACAAAGCAUAUCACAUGCAUCACUAAACAUGGAUUAGAAUUGUUCGAAGAAAAACUGGAUUUUUGAAAUUCAUUUGAGAAUCAGAAUCUUAUAAAUUAUUUGAAAAUUGGAUUCUUAGGAAUUAAAUGUAAGAAUGAGAACUUUUAGAAAUUAAAUUUGAAAGAAAAUUGGGAUUUUGAAGGGUUAUUUGAAAGUUCGGGAUUUUUAAGAAAAAUUAAGUUACGAAGAUCGGGAUUAUGGGAGUUAAAUUUUGAAAGGGAUUGGAAUCUUAAGUUAUUUGAGACAUGGAAAUUGUGAAGGUUGACGUGUAAAAAAUGGAUAUCUUAGAAAUCAUUUGAAGACAAAAUCUAUAGAAAUAAUGAAAUAGAUGAUAAUAAUAAUGACGAUAAUAAGUAACGGGGUAAAUACGGGAAUUAGAGCAUGGGAAACUAGAAAUUAAGUUCGGAGAUAGGACAAUUGGAAAUUCAAAUAGCUAAAUUCAGGAAUCAGAAUUUUGAAGAAUUAGACUCUAAUGAUUGAAAUUUUUAAGAGAAAUAAAUGGGUAAGUAUGGAGUAAUGUUACCGAUUAAUCAAAACGAUAUUUGGGUGGAUGAAUGUAGGAUAAUGAUUCCAAUUGAGUAACAUAAGGUUUAAGCGGAUUAUUGAAAUAUUAAAUUAUCAAAAUAAAUAUGGGAUAAUGAUCCUAAUAGAUGAAAAUAAGGUUUAAACGAAAUAUUGAAAAAUUAGGUUAAGGCACGAGAUUUUCGAAGGAUUAGACUUUAAAUAGAUAGGUAAAUCGAGGUGGAUAAUUCUAAUGAAUGAAAAAUGAGAUUUGAACUAAUUAUUGAAGAAUUAAGUUAAGGCAUGGGAUUUUCGAAGGAUUAGACUUUAAAUAAGUAAAGGAACAUAGGAUACUAAUUCUAAUUAAAGAAAAUAACAUUUAGACAAAUAGUGGGGUUUUAGGAUUGAGAAUUAAAUUAUGACAUUGGAUCUUUUAAAAGGGGCGGAUUUUGGAUAAAUAAACUAAUAUAGGAUGAUAAUACUAAUUAACGAAAAUAAUCAUUUAAACCGAAUAAAAAGAAUAGUGGAAUUUUUAGGGGUUUGAAAAUUAAAUUAGGACAUCUGGUUUCUAAAGGAUUGGAUUUUAAAUAACUAAACUCGUAUAGGAUGAUAAUACUAAUUAACGAAAAUAACAUUUAAACGGAAUAAAAAGAAUAGUGGAAUUUUUAGGGGUUUGAAAAUUAAGUUAGAACAUUGAAUUUUUAAAGAGUUGGACCUGAAAUGAAUAAAAAGAUAGGGGAUAAGAAUUCUAGUUAACGAAAAUAACAAUUAGGCGAAUAAUAGAAUUUCGAAGGUUGAAAGUUAAAUUGAGAUUUUUGAAAGAUUUGACUUUAAAUAAAUAUAGGAUGAUGAUUCUAAUUGAUAAAAAUGAAAUUUAAACGAAUUGUAGAAUUUUUAGGAUUGAAAAAUUAAAUUUAAAAAAAAUAUACGGAAUGUUUGAAGGAUUAGACUUUAAAUAACUAAAUAAAUACGGGAUUGUAACUCUAAGUGAUGAAAAUAAAAUUGAGUUGAAUUGUAGAGUUUUUAGGAUUUGAAAGAUUAAAUUAAAACAUGGAAUUUUUGAAGGAUUAAACUUUAAAUAACUAGAUAAAUACGUGAUAAUAAUUCUAAUUGACGUACAUGAGAUUUAAACGACUUAUGGAGAAAUUAAAUUAAGACCUGUGAUUUUUAAAAGGGUUAGACUUUAAAUAACUAUAUAUGUAUGAGAUAAUGAUUUUAUUUGAUAAAAAUAAGAUUUAAACGAACUAUUGAAAAAUUAAAUUGAGGCAUGAGAUUUUUUUUAAAAGGGUUAGACUUUAAAUAACUAUAUAAAUAUGGAAUUAAUCACUCUAUUUAAUGAAAAUGAGAUUUUAACGAGUAUUUGAAGGAUUAAAUUCAAAUAUAGGAUUUUUGAAGGAUUACUUAAAGACCUAAGUUUUGAAAAUGGAAUGUAAAGUCUAGAAUGUAGAAACUUAUUUGAGUCCAAUAUAAAUUAAUUUAUACAAAAGUUUUUCAUAUAUGGUGAUUAGACAUAAUUAAAAUAUAGAUUAUUUUGUGUUUCAAAAAACGAUGUUUACCCCUAAUGAUUUAUCCCUUAGUUAUGCUCAAGUCAAAUUAAAGAAGGUAGGUAAAAAUGUAAUAAGGUGUAAUAAAAAAAUAAAUAAUAAAUAGAUUAUGAGGAUUAGGAGUUUAGAGAUUUAUUUAGAGCUGGGACAGCCAAGUGGGCUAACCCAACAUCGCUUUGGACCAUGAGGGUAGCUAGUUUAGGAACAAUGAGGCUCCUCAUCAACGCGUGGGCUGGGCUCCAAACCCAAGCCCAAAUCCGAACCAUGGGCCAGCCCCAAAACAGCCAUUUCCAUUACAAACUUGGGCUUGGGCUCAAAUCUGCACCCGCCACCACCAGAAAAACCCACAUUGCCGCCUUUGACACUUUGAGCCUGAACUUCGCCUCCUCGUUUAAGCUCGUCAGUGACGAACCGUACACCGCCUUCCCCAUCGAACCUGAAGGCUCUAACUGCCCUGACCGCCGCCCCCCGACGCCACCGGAUUUCUUCAAGUCGUCUCUGGUAGUCGGCGCUGCACGUGACCCUGUCGUCGGCUGCCGCUCCUUGUGUUGAUCCUGCCGCUUAGAUAUGUGAAGGCCAUUGCUGAGCUGGUGAGAUGGGAUUCGCGUACCCAUUGAUGACUUAAAGAGAGGAUCUACAGAGAGGAAGGUAGAGAAGGAGCGAAAUGGAGAGGUGCUUUAGAGAGAGAAAAGGUGGUUAUGGAGAGAGGAAGGGUGACGACGUGCAUGUACAGUCCUCAUGCUCGUGGAAGGGAUGAUGAAAAUGAGAGGGUGGUGUUUCUGAUGGGUGGUGAGAUGAGGGUAGCCAUGCUCAUAUAGUGCUGUGUUAUCCAUUCUUUCAAUGUUGUAAAAGUGCAAUCUUUUCAAAAGGGCCCCAACAGCACCACUAUCCCCACUAAGAAGCUGUUAAGCAGGAUAUGGAAAGAAUGGAUGAUUCCUUCCCAUGUCUAGAUCUUUUAACAUUCCAUGAAAAAAAACCAACUGCAUCUAUGGAAUUCCUGAUGGUAUAAACCAAUGGCUGAGAAGAUCCGGGUAACAAAGAUGGACCAGGAACUAUACCAAGCCUAAGAGAUCUAGGUGAAAGAGAAAAAAAAAACACUUACCGAAGGACUUUUCCUGCUCAUUGGGUCAUUGUAAAUACAGCUGCAUUGUUAACCUUGGGAACUAUUGUCGUCAAGUCAAUAGUGGCAUAACACAAAAAAUCCAUGGCAGACUUAUGAAACAUUGUACAAGUAGCUGCAGUGUAGCAUAGGCUUUGUGUAUCUAGCAUAGAAAAUACCUGGACCAAAACGAGAAGCUCCUCCUCUGCUCAGCUCGAAAUCACCUCCCUAUAGCUCCUCUUGCUUACAGCUUCUCCGUGGCCUUCAAACUCUUCUUCUCAGUUCUCUCUCACUCUCCCUCAUGCACUCUCCUUUUCUUUUUCUUUCUUUUCCUCUGUUUUUCUUCUGUUUGUGUCUUCCUCAGCAAGCCAGUCGUAUCCCGUCCAAUCUGCCCCCCAAGAGCCGCCCACUUCAGUCUCCUUUUUCUCUGCCCCAAAAACAACCCCUGACCAUCAUGUCGAGCGGCUCCUCAAAAAAGGUAGGAAAAAGAAAAGACAUAAAAUAAAUCCCAAGAAAAAAACUCUGCCUCCGGGGGGUCUACAAUCUCAUUGUUUUAUAUAUAUAUAUAUAUAUAUAUAUAUAUAUAUAUAUAUAUAUAUAUAUAUAUAUAUAUAUAUAUAUAUAUAUAUAUAUAUAUAUAUAUUUAAAAAUUUUUAAAAAUUUUUUUGUAAAAAAAAAAAAAUAUAUAAAAAAAUUUGUAAAAAAAAUAUGUGUAAAAAAAAAAAAAAAAAAAAAAACAUCAUUUGUAUGUUAUAAAAAAUAUUUUUUUUUUAUUUUAAACAAAAAAAAAAAAAAAAAAAAAAAAAACCCCACACUUUUUGUGUAUGAUUAUUUUUUUUUAUUUGAGAAUUUUAUUUAAAAAUUUUUUAUUUUUUUUUUUUGUUUUAAAAAAAAAAUAUUUUAUGUAUAAAAUAAAAAAAUCAGAUUGAAAAUUUUCAAGACCAAAUUUAGUAUCUUAGAUCUUUCCCAAAAAAUUUCUAUUUAUAAUGUUUUGAUUAUAUAUAUAUAUAUUGAUUUAUUUUAGGUAUAUUAUAUAAUAUAUUGAAAAAAUAUCUUAAAAAUAUUUUNNNNNNNNNNNNNNNNNNNNNNNNNNNNNNNNNNNNNNNNNNNNNNNNNNNNNNNNNNNNNNNNNNNNNNNNNNNNNNNNNNNNNNNNNNNNNNNNNNNNAUCAUGUCGAGCGGCUCCUCAAAAAAGGUAGGAAAAAGAAAAGACAUAAAAUAAAUCCCAAGAAAAAAACUCUGCCUCCGGGGGGUCUACAAUCUCAUUGUUUUAUAUAUAUAUAUAUAUAUAUAUAUAUAUAUAUAUAUAUAUAUAUAUAUAUAUAUAUAUAUAUAUAUAUAUAUAUAUAUAUAUAUAUAUUUUAAAAUUUUUAAUAAUUUUUUUGUUAACUAAAAAAAUUAUUUAGAAUAAUUUGUCAAAAAACUACGUGUAAAAAGAAAAAAAAAGAAGAGAACAUCAAUUGUAUGUUAUGAAAAGUAUUCAUUUUUUACGUUAAGCAGAAGAAAAAAAAAAUUAAAAAAAAACCCGACACUUUUGGUGUAUGAUUAUUUUUUUUUAUUUGAGAAUUUUAUUUCAAAAUUCUUUAUUUAAUUUUCUUGUUUUAAUUAAAAAAUAUUUCAUGUAUAAGAUAGAAAAAUCAGAUUGGAAACUUUCAAGACCAAAUUUAGUAUCUUAGAGCUUUCCCAAAAAAUUUCCAUUUAUAAUGUUUUGAUUUGAUAUUUAUGUAUUGAUUUAUUUUAGGUAUAUUAUAUAAUAUAUUGGAAAAAUAUCUUAAAAAUAAUUUAGAUUCCUUAAUCCAAUUAAACAGAAGAAUACAUAGUAUCUCCAAAAUUAAUGCCUCUAAUAUAUUUACAAAAUUACUCCACCAAAAUUUUUUGUCUCAAAUUAUUAUAAAAAAAUUGUUUUUUUUUAUUCAUUGUAAAGCAAGAAAUAAUUAUUAAUUGAAAUUAAGAGUUCAGUUUUGAAUAGAGGGUUUUCUUAGGGUACAAUUAUUAAAUAGGUUAAAUGAGUUAAAUGAUGUAUUAUCUGUUUAAUAAUUAUGUAAUAUUUUGGUUUAUGUUUUUAAUACGAUUAUUAUUUAUAUUGGAUUUAGAUUGAGCUAUGUAGUAUAAUACCUAGGUUUUGACAUGAUAUUAACACGACCCAUAUUUAAUUAAUUUCUUAUAUUUUCCUACAUAUUUAACAAACAUGUAGUAAUACUAACCAUGCAAAAUUGCAAUUGGGUUGUAAGUAACAAAUUUUAUUAUCCUUCCAAAUGUACAUUCACCUUAGUUACCAUUUUUACACACGAUAUUAUUGAUCAAGUCACAAAUCGAAUAAAUACGAAGCGCCAUGUACAUAAAUAAAUUUAAUUUAAAAAACAUAAAAAUAGGUUAUGAACAUUUUAAGUUCCCAUCGUAUUUUUAUUUCAUAAAACAUGAUAGAUUUGUUUGGAAAGUAUUUUUGAAAAUAAUUUUUUAUCAAGUUGUAAUAAUUUUUUUUUUUUAAAUAAAUGAAAGUACAUUGAAGACAAUAUUAGUAUUUGAUAUUAGAGCCACAUUCAUUUUAAAAGAAAAAUUAGUAUCCGUAAUGCUAACUCAAAAUAUAUCAUUGGAAAAUCUAAAAAUGCCCAUACCAUUCAAAUAAUAAUAAUUAACCAAAAAUAAAAAAAUAAAAAAUUGAAGGCAAAUUGGUGCUUUACCUUUACUUCAUUUCUCCAACUCCAGGCUUCAUCGUCUGUGUCAGCAGAUUUGCCUCAACUUAAUGGCAAUCCUGAAUAAGAAAUAUUUAUAAAGAGAUUACUUUAAGUCGAUCUCUGUACAAUUGAAGAAUGAAAUUCUUAAAAUUUUAGACUCAAAUACCCGAAUGGAACUGAGGAUCCCUGGGUGCCCAGAAAAAUGGAGGUUCUAUGGAAGCCUCAUGAGGAGAUGACUUCGCCAUCCAUAACUACGUAGGGGAUAUGAGCAAUCUUGGGCCAUUCUUUCCCUUUAUCCCUUUGGCACCGUUUUAUCAGCAGAGGACAAUCACGAAUCAGGAGAAUAGAGAGGGAGGAGGGCAGCCCCUGUGUCGGAAAGGACUUUAACUUAAAACACUUAUAAAGCCGGAGUGUUUGAAGAGAAGUGAGGUUUUGAAGCCUCAGAUUGUCCAGGGAUUUCAGAUCUGGAAAAUUAAGAAUCUGGAGAGAGAUGAGAGUGGAGGGCAGCAGCAGCCACUCUUCGAAAAAUGACUCCGACCCUUCUUCUGUAUCUCCAGAGAUACUCAAUUUUCUAAGGGAGGGAAGUGUUUGUAUGCCCCAUUCCUUCUGAGAUUCCAUAAGCUUGUAGCAGUUCCAUAUCUCAAGUGAAGAUAGAUUAGUCGGCAAACCCCCUUCCGGAAAUGAAACAAUUUCUGGACAAUCAUAUAUCUCCAAAUCUUCAAGCGAGGUAAGGAGGGUGUGCAUCCGUUGGGGCAGUGACUUAAGCUUGUUGCAAUAUCCUAUCCGAAGUUGUCUCAGGUUGGAAGCUGGCAAUCCUCCUUGUGGAAAAGACACCAGAUUCGGGCAAUCCUGGAUGUGUAUGCUUGGGAGAGAUGUGAGAUCCAUGUUGUGAAGUCCAUCUGGAAUGUCAAGGGACUCCAGAUUUGUACAACCCCAGAUAUAAAGUGUCUCAAGCUUUGUGAAGAAGGCUAAUGGAAAGUACGUGAGAGAAUCACAACUUCCAUCAAUAUGUAAACUGGUAAGCCAAGGGUAAUAACUGUGCGUGGUCUCCUCAGGAAGGGGUAACUCUACUUUCCCACACUGCUUGAUUUCAAGUGAUUUCAAUGAAGAGAUGCUGGGGAAGGACGUAAGAGAAUCACAUUCUUCUGUAGACAACUUCUGGAGACGGGUAUUAUUUUGAAUCAUUCCCUCUGGUAGGGUCUCUAGAAUGCCGCAUUUUUUUAUUUCAAGGAUUUCAAGCAUGGAGGGCAGCCCCAUCUCUGGAAGAGAGGAAAGAUUCUGACAUUCCUUGAUAACCAACUUCCGAAGAGACGUGAGCUUAUGCAAAAUCGGUGGCAAUUCCACUUGUAUGGAGCAAAUAUUACUCACUUCCAACUCAGUUAGUGAAGGCAUAUGGACAGCACUUCUCAAUACUACCUUAUCACAUUCUUUUAAAUUCAGAUGCUGAAUGGACGGAGCCUUUGGAAGCUGACACACCAGUUGCCCACAUUCUAAAAUUACCAGAUUUGUUAGAAGAGGAAGGUGCUUGGGCAAAUCCCCUUUCAGCUUUGCACAACACUCAAUGUGGAGCUCAUUGAGACAAGGGAACUCCCCCCCUUCGACUCCAAAACAAUCCCAUUCCUCCCACUCUGACAUCUCCUUGAACACCAGAGUCUGCAGGCUUCCAAAUGGCUUAAAUGAAGAAGGCCCAUUCCCAUAAAACUCCUGCCCCACCUUUCGCAGAACAUCAUUCUUCACAAUGGACAGGUUCUGGAGAGACCGUAGCUGUCCAAGCGGUGGCAAGGAUGCACAAUUUUUACAGUUAGAGAGUUGUAGACUCACCAUGUUGAUGAAUGAAGGGUCCCCUAACCAGCUUGGAAAUUUCGCACCAUAGUAGCAUCCAAUGGAGAGUUCUUUCAGGUUGUCAUGAGGCUGCAGCUUUUCCAGCACACUUGCUGCAUCUUGUGAAUCACCGGCAAUUGCAUUAUCAUCUUCCCAAUUCAAUUCUAACUUGUCAAGGCACUCCUUACGCUUCAUAUUACUCUCCAAGGCAUCUCUAGCAUCCACCACAUUUUGCAACUUGAAAAUGGCAAGUGUACCACUAAGGUGUGAAAGGUCCCUCAAUUCCCCAACUCUUGAUCCUGUAUGCUUACUGACAACAAAAGUAGUCAACGUUCGAAGAUUUUUCAUUCUACUCAUUUCCAUUGGCAUCCUUUCUAGCUUAGUCCCAUCGAUUUUGAGAUGACGUAAGUUGAUUAGUCUUCCCAUUUUUGUCGGCAAUUCAACAAGAUAUUCACACCAUGAUAACAUCAAAGUUUGCAAGUUGAAAAGAGUUGUUAUUGAUUUAGGUAAUGUUCUAACUAAAUUAUGAGAGAGGUCCAAAUAGCGUAGGUGUUUCAAAUUUCCAAUCGAGUGAGGCAAGUCUUUGAUGCCAUAGUAAGUCAAAGACAAAACCCGCAAACACAUCAAUGUUGACAACAAACAAUGUGAGACCUCCUUGCUUAAAUAGAAAUUAGGAAUACCAUGAGUACCAAGAGACUGUGGUAGGAAGGUCUGUAGAUUAUGGUCGUCAAGAAAUGAUUUAAAUUUCUUGGAGGCUAUGCCUUGUUGCCAACUAUAUGAAAAAUGUCGAAUCUCCUUAGAAAUUUUAUUUUGCUUUUCAUCCUCCAACCUACAACAAAAUCUUCCUGAUAUAAAUUGUGCUAAAUCAUGGAUCAGAUCAUGCAUCACAAAUACAGAUUCAUUGUAAUAAUAUCGUUGAAAGAACGACCUUGACAAUAGAUUAUUGAAACAUAUGUUACCAAACUCUUCUACAGUUCCCUCUCUUUUAGAGCUAUCUAAGAAGCCUUCCGCCAUCCAUAACAAUACUAACUUCUCUUUUUCAAACACAUAAUCCUUAGGGAAUAUGGAACAAUACGUAAAACAUCGCUUCAAUUUUGGAGGGAGAUAAUAGUAACUCAAGUUCAAAGCAGGAAGAAUAUUACUUUGGUCAUUUGGUAAAUCCCAUAUUUCGUUGUUUAAUACGUCAUUCCAAGCAGUGCUAUCUUGUUUAGAGCGUAAUAAACCUGCAAGAGUCUUCGCUGCCAAAGGUAAGCCUUUGCAUUUUCUUGCUAUCUUCCUACCAAUUGAUUCCAAGUUUUGGCAUACAUCCGAAUUUAGAUUUUUGAAGGCUUGUUGUGCAAACAAUAACCAACAUUGUUCAUCAGUUAGUUGAUGAAGCUGAUAAGAAGAAGCCGUUGUUCGCAUAAUUGAUGCCACAUUUUCAUUGCGAGUUGUUACUAAGACCACGCUGCCUCGUGCUCCGACAUUAAAAGGAGCUUGUAGGACAUCCCAAUGGUUGGGAUUCUCGUUCCAUACGUCAUCUAGAACAAGGAAAAAUCUUUUCUCCUUCAUUUCAUUUUUCAAUUUUUCUUGAAGCAAUUCCAAGGUUUUAAAUUCACAUGGACGUUUCGUGAUGGACUCAAGAAUUGCUUUUGUUAUUCCUACAACAUCAAAAUCAUCAGAAACACAAACCCAAACUCUCAUAUCAAAACGGUUCUCCACCCUGCCAUCAUUGUAGAUGAUCUGAGCGAGGGUUGUCUUUCCAAUCCCGCCCAUGCCUACCAUGGAAAUGACAGAUACUCUAUCGCAUUUGGUUGCUUCAUCUGACAGCAUCAAUUCAAUGAUCUUCUCCUUAUCAGCAUCCCUACCAUGAAUACGAGACUCAUCUACUAAAGAAGUAGUCUGUAACCUUUCUUCAAUUCCAAACGACACCCCUCGAACACCCUCCUUUAGAUGAAGGUCAACUCUCCGUUUGGCAAUUGCAUCUAACUCCCUUGUGAUUUUGUUUAUUUUUUCACCCAUCUUUUUGUUAAAGGACAUAACUCUAGGAUCCAAAGCACCACAAGUUGGGAUGAGCUUGCGUACCUUACUUGUGCAGGCUUGAGGGCCUUCUGUCAAACUCCUUUGCUUGGCUUCAAUAUCAAACUCAUCUAUCACAUCUUCAAUGUCAUAAGCCAAAGAUUUGAGGUCAUCCAGCCAAACUUUCACUGCUUUCUCCCUGAUCUGCUUGUUCUCAGCAUCACACAGCACUGCUUCAAUAUGGGUCAACGUCUUCCUCCAUUCUUCGAGUGUUCUGUCAAUUUUUUUCCGACGAGCGUAUUCUAACAGCGGGGAGGCGAUCAACUUAUCAAUCAACACACCAAGGAAGGAAGAUCCAAUUGCCUCAGCCACAAACAUACUUUCAGUAAAUUGGAGAGAGCAAAAGAGAUAGAAGGGAAAGUUUCCACAGAUUGUAAGAUUGUUGUUGUAGUGAUUUAAUACAUUUAAUUACACAAUUCCUGCAAUUCCUCUUUUAUUAAUAGUUUAAUAGUGGACCACAGGCGGCCACAUUAAGAAUCUUGUCAGCCACCAUUACUUUUAAAAAGAGGAAAAACAUACAGACUGCUUGAAAAAAAGAAAUUAAAAUUAUUUAAAAUUGGUUAUUUGGAAAAAAGUUUGUUGACAUCCAACUCAUCUCACCCAAUUUCAACUAAAAUUUAUUAGUCAAUGACUCACACCAAUAAAUAUAUUAAAGCCCAUGUUAAAUCUUACUUUCUUAAUUUAUUAGUAGACUUUCAGACUUUCUUAAUUUAUUAGUCAAUGACACGUAUGCCUUAUUUAAAAUAAAAGAAAAUGUUCAUUGACCUCUACUAAAGAAAAAAAGCAUGCUCAUCACUUUUGGAGAUGAUACUUCUUACCCAGUUAUUUGAGUAGAUAAAUAAUGAAGUUGUGAAGGUGGAAAUUAAAAAUGAGCCCAUAGUUUUCACAUUGCAAUUCAUCCUUACAUCUGAGUUACCAAAUUUUUACUUGUGUCCUUGGCCCUUCACCCACAGAGAAAUUGGACUUUAGUAGACAAUGAAUAAAAAACUCUAGAAGUAAUUAAAUAAAAAAACACAAAAUUGAUGUGGAAAACCCUCCAAUAAUGAAGGGAAAAACCACAGGACAAGCUGAUAAAUAAUUCACUACAGCAAAAUAUAGGAAUUACAAUAUUAAUUCUCACGAGUUCUUUAAAAACAAAAAUAAAUAAAUAAAUAACAGUAAAAAACUUGAGAUAUAAUAAUUUUUGAGAAAAUACAAAUAUUUAAACUUGCAAAUAGGAGAAACAAAAUAAUGCAAAAGCUUGGGCUGCAAUUGUCCAGAAAGAACAAGCUUCAAAUUUCUUUCUUUGAUUUUCCUUGGGGGAUCACAAUCAUGAAAGCUCAGCACUGACAUCCUCUGAGUUGGACUCUGUUUGAAGAGCCAUAGGUCCUAGAAUUCCCCUGUUUUUUAUGCCAUCAACUGGUAAAGAAGUCAUCAUAUGGCACAUGCUGAAGCCCAUCCACUUUAGAUAUGGCCAUGAAUCUUCAACCACCAGUAAACCAUACUUCAUGACUCCAUUCAAAUUAUAACUAGGAAGUAAUUGUGUUGACGGUGGAAACACAAUGGAAUGAAAAUUACAGCCUACACAGUAGAAAAAACCUAUCAAGUUUACUCAACAAUCACAAAGGAAAACCAUCAAUUGUGAUUGAGGCCAAUACCGUACCACAAUAUGAAUAGGCCAAACUUCCUGCUACUGCUCUAAACACCCCUCUCUUAGAUUUAUAAACUUUCAGCAAAAAGCUUGCUUGAUGUGUAUGGACCAUUCCUACUCGAGACACAUGUGUCUUAAGCAGUCUUGAACCAAAACUGAUGCCAUGAUGGGGCCAAACCCUCUUUUAGAAAUUGCAAGAUAACUGAACAAUCGAGAAUCGACCUUGACAAUGAUUCAACAAAUGGGGAAGAAGAAGGUAAUCAAAAUAGUAAAAAUUUAAAAAUAAAAAGUAGAAAAUGGGAAAACCUUGAGUAGUGCAUAUUUCGAUUUAGAACCAUUUGUAUUAAGAGGUUGCACUUAUAACUUAUGGGUUUUGAAAUAAAACUUUUUCCAUUUUCUUUCUACAUAUAUCGAAAACUACAAUAGAAUCAAGUAGAAACUGGGUUUUAGGAUAAUAAGAGUUUUGAUGUGAAUGGCACUAUGGGAGUACCUUGAUAGUGGGAUGAUCUCUGCUUCCAUUUAUGUGAUUGGAAAAUAAAAUUCAAUGUAAAAUUGAUUCAGAUGUGAAAAGCCUAUUGAUGCAUUUUCCACCAUCUUUGUCCUUUAAAGAUCAUGCAACUAUGACCAACCUUUUCAUGCUUAUAUAAUUUGUUUGUUAUUAAUUAUGAAAGACUUGUUUUGAUAAAUUUUAAGGGCCACCUGACUUGUUCAAUAAAACUCAACCCAACAACAAAAACAUAUGAGUUCGAAUGGUUUGGUAAGUGUCCCAAAUUCCUAAUUAAUAUAAAUUUCUUUUUGUAAAAAAUAUUAUGUAUAAUAUUUCUUUAAUUAAUAUAUCAUUGUAAUAUUAGAUUUUUUUAUAGAAUAAAAAAAGUUAUUAGGAAUAUCUUUAUAAAUAUUCUAGGUCAUAAGGGGAAAAAGUUAUGAAGUGGAGAUGAGUUUGUAGCUAAGGAGUAUACGAAGUGGAUAGAAAUACGAGGAAGAAUGAGAGAUAUCUGGUAGAGCGAGGAGACUUGUGGUUUAGGGUGUGGAUACAAGGAUUGGAGAAACAUGGGAUGUUUCGAGAACCCAAUAUUUGUAUCCGGUUCUGUCCUUUAUAAUAUUCUCUAUUAUAUAAUGAAAAAAAUUCUUUUAUCCAUGGAUGUAGGCAUGACUAGCCGAACUAUGUUUAUAGUGAGAUGAGAAAUACCUAUGAAUUAACUUACCAAUUCAUAUUAUAACAAAAGACUUGUCAAUUGAACUGAUCUGCCAAUUUUCCCUUCAAUAAAAUAAAAUGAUAAUAUUGUCAUUGUCGUUACAAGCAUCAUCCUCAUCAUUCUCAUCACGAUUCAUUAUUAUCUUAGUCUUCAUUUACAUAUAUUACUUGCUUUCUAUUUUUAAAAUAAAAAAUAGUAGUAACUUUUAUAUAAAAUACAAAACUCUUAAAGACUUACAUAGAAAAAGUAGCAGUUUUAAACUUAUUUUAAAAAGUUUUGGUACUUUUUUAAAAGUGAUUUUUAGAGACAUAUGAUUACUUUUAUAUAAAGCUUUUGAUCUUAAAAAUAGAAAAAUGGGAAGUGUAUGCAACCCUUGGAUUCUUGUAAAUGAAAACAUAGUCCUCACAAAGUGGAUCUAGCAGUAACAAUGUAAUUCAACCUAUCUAAAAGAAAUAACAAUAAGAAUUAAAUGAAGAAAUAAAUUAUGAAAGGAAAUGGAUAAAUAAUGUUAGAUUCAUGAGUGGCAAGAAUAUGAUCUACAUAUCAGAAAGAUUAAUAGAGAAGGCAACUACAAAAUCUGAUUAAAAAAAAAAAAGAGUUUGCCCUCAUCUAGAGCCAUCAGUAGUAUGUGAGUACUUUUUAAAGUUAAAAAAUGAUAAUAGAAUUAUAGCUUAUAGUGAAAUAGUAAAAAAUAGAUGUGUAGACCCCCAUAUGGGGCUCGUUUUUUUUUUUUCAUUUGCUGCAGGUCACACUUCUUACCAAGUGGAGGGCUCUUAAAGAGCCAAAUGUUGCUUCCUGGUUGGGUGGUCAGUGAACCAGGUAGUGGUUUGGAAAUGCAAUGGGGUGGAGACACCUGUUGGAGGAGAUUCGGAGGAGCUUUUUGGUUGUUAGAGAGGAGCUUUUUGUCAGGAGGGGGGAACGGAUUUUUCUUGGUUUGGGAUUACAUUUUUUAGAGAGGGUAGGGGACCCCCAGCUGAGAGCUUGAUGUCGUCUGCAUGAAGCGUGCAACAACAAUGAGGGUAGUUGGGCAGGCCAUACUGGCUGAUGCAUGAACAGGAGGAGGCAGGUGGUGACUUGCUAAGGAAGGUGAUUCCAAGAAGCGGAAAAGAGAGAGAAACAUAGAAAAAAAAAAUGAGGCAGAAAAAAAAGAGGGGGAAGAGGAGAGGAGAGUUUAGCUUGAGAGGACUAGUGGGAAAGAGGCAUUCCGGGGCUGGUUGCUUGAGAGGAAGGAUAGUUGUCCGAUUUCUUGCCCACCUAGCUAGAGAGAGUUAUUUUGAGUGGUUUAGUUUGCUCUGGUUUUGAUUUCUCCAUGAGAUAUUUUUGUAACUACGUUUUACUUUUCAUUUGAUACUCAUUUAAUCUUACCCACCAUCAUCUAAGCCUGUUGGUAUGAUAUGAAGCAUAGCUUGUCGGGCUCAUUUUCUUGUAUCUACUCUUUGUGCUCUAUUUUGUUAUCCUCCUCUGCUCUUGAUAUCCGUCCAUGGUACGCAUCCAUUUUCUCAUCCCUGCUUGAAGGAGAUCCUAGAAAAUCUGGAGUAGUUGUCAUGGCAGCAAAGCUCACCUCAUCAGCAUCCUCAUACCCAUUCUCGUUUAUUAUUCAUCGUUUUAUCCAACAUGCCUACGUCCCCAUCCAUCACUCCACUCCUAUUCCCGUUUAUCUUCAUCAUGUGUAAACCCCCACGCAUCUCAUACCGGGAGGUGAUGUCUCAAGAUGAUGUAGGAAGCUAAUAUUUGAAUUUGUGGAAAGAAGGGCAGAUUUAGUAGUCUCAUGGGAAUACUAUGGCAUGAGUGUGGGAUCCUCCCUAAAAAUUGCUGCGUGGCUUCCUCUCCCUGGGACACGCAGACGGCCCCUUGCGACACGUGGCAUCGCUCAUUCCACCCGGGUAUCUCACAUCCGGAAUUCUUCUCCGUCGACAUUCCACUCGGAUAUCUCACAUCCGGAAUUCUUUCCGGCCGACGUUCAACCUUCUCAGGAUAUCUCACAUCCGAAAUUCUGUCCAGCCGACGUUCAGCCUUCUUUGGAUAUCUCACAUCCGAAAUUCUGUCCGGCCGACGUUCCACCUUCUUCGAAUAUCUCACAUCCGGAAUUCUGUCCGGCCGACGUUUAACCUUCUCCGGAUAUCUCACAUCUGGAAUUUUGUUCGGCUGACGUUCCACCUUCUCCGGAUAUCUCACAUUCGAAAUUCUAUCCGGCUGACGUUCAACCUUCUCCGGAUAUCUCACAUCCGGAAUUCUGUCUGGCCGACGUUCCACAUUUUUCUUCAUCCUUAAAGCAUUUUCUUGAGGUUCCCAAGAUCUCAUUUUCAAUAAAUUUUGCCGCCAUUUUCUUCUCGGCAUGUAACUCUAACAACUUCCAUGAUUUUAAAAUGUUUUAAAAUAAGUGUGAAUUUAUUUUCGUAAUUCUUAGUGAUAGAAUUUGUGAAACUGAUUCACCCAAUAGUAAACGGGCUUUGGUGGGGGCCCCACAUAUGUGACUGAUCAAUUGAUUGACUGACUGAUUGACUUGAUUAUCAUACAUAAUUGAUUUAUCCUGCUCUUUGAUACGUAUGCUAUUGUUUCUUAAUUGAGCACUAACCUUCCUUUUUGAUAGCGCAUGGUGGCUCACUGCCUAGGUACGUACCCACUUUCACUCUGAUCAGUGUCUACGCAUGUUCUGAUUUUCACAUGUGCAUGAUUUAUUCGGGGUAUCCAUUGAUUUACUCAUCAAUUUCCACGUCAGCUUCAUUUUAUUAGUAAAGACCUAACUUUAGGGGUUUAGAGGGGUGCUACGGUCUUUACCGUACCUUCCCAAUAAGUAACCUGACCCCUGAACCCGAUCUGAUUUUUCGUAGACCAACCUUUUCCAAAACAAGGAGUCACACUUAGGGUUUUUCUUUCUUAUUUUAUUUACCCUUUAAAAAUAAAACAAAAAUAAGUGGCAACUCCAAGUCAUUUUUUUUAACCAAUUAAAUCAUUUUUCAAAAUAAAAAUCGAGCUCUCCAUCGAGUGGGAAGCACAUGAUCCGAAAUGCGGGGUCCACAAGAUGUCUUUCAAGAAGUUUUAAGAGUUGUAACACACUAAUCUUCACUUGUUAGCACAAAUACGUUUUUUAUGCUUGACAUCCAAAUUAAUUUGGAUUUUCUUUGGCUAAAAAUCGAACAAGCUAGAAUUUUUGCAUCUCUUUAAAUCUUAUAGAGACUUAGAAUAAAUAAUUUAGACUUUAAAGUUAUGUUUAGUUCUUAAAAAGCACAAAAAAGAAAAAAAUUGUUAAGAAAAAUAAUUUUGUUAUAUUUGAUUGUAUUAUGAAAAUACCAAAGAAAAUAAAAUAUAAUUAAAACUAGGUAGAAAUUCAUGCAUUUUCAUAUUAUUUAAUCUUUAUAUCCAAGAGUUAAAAUGAGUAAAAUGAGUUUAAAGUAACAUAAAAAAUAAUUUAUUGACUUUGAAGCUAGUUUUUAUUUUCUUUCACUUUUCCUUUCUUUCUGCUUUUUUUUUUUUUUUUUCUAUUUUCUUUUUCUUGCAUUUUCCCUUAAUUUUCCUCAAAACCAAACAUAGCUUAACAUUUUUGAACUUCCGAGUGAUGAUGUUCCUCGUAGAUAUGAUAUGUUAAGUUUUAGUAAAGACGUUUGGAUAAUGUUGGUCAAUGCUUAAGAUAGGGAAGAAACUUUUUUUGUUUUUAUGUUUAUUUUUUUAUAUGUGAAAGUUGGAUUUUUUUUUAUCAUGAGGAGCAAGUGAUUUGUUCACCAAUAUAAACUUAUUUUGAAUAUUAUCAAUAUAUAAAAAAAAAUUGAAAACUUAUAAAAUAAAGUUAAUACCAUUAUUAUUUAAAAAAAAAGGUAUAUAAUGAUUAGAUAAUUCAAUAAAAAGAAAAUAGAUUUUGUUGGUUUCCCCCUUUACACUAGAAUGAAAAUUCUUGAACAUGAAAAUAGAUGACUAGUACAUUAUAAUACAAAUGUUAUUUCAUUAUCUAUUAAUUUAUAGUUUAGACUUGAAUUUUUAUGUUAAAUCAUUAUUUCAAACCUUGGGCCAUGAAAAUUAUAGGUAAUUCAUUUUUUUUUUUUGAAAAAUUGGAAUGUGAACGUCAUAAUGAAUUGAUUGAGAAAUAUGAAUGAAAAAAGGAAAAAAAAAUCAUAUAAUAAGGAUAUUUAAGGAAAAUAAAGGUCUCAUCAUCACUUAAAAACAUUAAAGAAAAUAAACUUCAUUGUUGUUCUCUUUCUCUGUUUUUUUAUUAUUUUUUCAUAACUUAGAAAAUGAAAUUUACCACAAAAGCAUAGAAGAUAGGCUAUUUAUUUAUUGCUUCAACUUUAUAUUCUUUUUUUAUUGGGAAACUGAUCAUAUUAAAGACUUUCACACAUGAUUUUACUAUCCUUUUGUAUACAAAUUGACGAUUAAAAGAUUUGUUGAUAGUUAACCAUGACUACCUUAUUCUAGAACUCCAAAAGUCUUAACCACACUUUUUAAGGACAACAUCUAAACACAUAUAUUAUUGUCAUAUAAUUAUUAUUUUUUUGGAAGGUAAUCUCUACUUAGGUGCUGGUGGAUCUACAUUUACACCAAUUCUCACUAGCAACUCAAGGAUUGUUUUCCCAAGGAUUUUGUGAUGCUAAUUGGGCUACUAGUGUAGAUAGAAAAUCCAUUAGUGUUUUUUGUGUUUAUCGUAGAGGGAACUUGAUACAUUGAAGGUCAAGAAAAAAAAAGUGCUAGCAAGAUCUAGCAUAUAAUCUAAAUACUGAUCCUUGGCCAAAGUUACAAUAAGCGUUACUUGACUUUAAUCCUUGUUUAAAGAGUUAAAAAUUAAAAUUGAUGAUACUCUAAUUUUAUACUGUGAUAAUUUCAUAGUAGGUUCCUUGACUUCAAAUCCAGUGUUCCAUGUGAGGAAUGAGCAUAUGGAAAUUGAUGUGCAUUUCAUACAAGAGAAAGUCAUGCCAAAAGAGUUAAACAUGCAAUACAUUCUAAUAGAGGAGCAAAUAGUAGACUAUCUAAUCAAAUCUCUCUUAGAUGCAUGUUUUAAAAUAUUUAAAGACAAGCUCAUUGUGGUACAAUCUAUUAGAAAAUCAAGUAAAUAAGAUUUUUCAAUUCUAGUUUAACAAAACAACAUAAUUCCAUAAAUACUCAAAUAAUGCCACUAUGAGAAAGAUAAGCUUAUAUAGAUUGUUUAUGAAAUUGCAUCACUUUGUUUUGGUAUUGACACCUUAUAUCUUACCCCUUUUUACUCUCUAUAAUUCUUGCAUAAAUGAUGGGAAGCCUCACAAACUUAAGAGGAGUGGAGAAAGGCACUAAGAGCCCAUUUAUAUAAUGUCAAGUGACCUUACCCAUAAAGUGUCACAAAUGAAAACUUCCUACUAGAUUAUAUUAAUCCACCUGUUCUAAUCCUAUGUAAUAUAGAAUUUUAAUGCACAAUAAUUCCAACAUUCUCAUACUUGGGCAAAUGAUCACAUACUAACUUGAAACUUUUAUGGAUUCAAUAAGCGGUUACAUAAAAAUAAUAUCAUCACUACAUGCUUAUCGAAUGAAGUUACUGUUGGGCUUUGUGGAGCCUAGUUUUGUUUGAUCCGGUUUGACGACCUGACCCGAAUAAUAUUGCAUGACUUUUUAAUGAGAGAUUUAUUAAGGCCUGUUGGGCCCGUUUAGUCCAUUGUGGAACCACCUUUUGUAAUUAGGGUUUUUUAGUAUGGUGGGGUUGUCGUGCUAUAUAUAUAUAGAGAAUAUUGUAGCCACUAGGUUGUACUCUGUAUUCUUCCCUGAUAAUAGUGAUAUCCCUGCAACUCCGUGGACGUAGGCAAAUUGACGAACCACGUAAAUACUGUCUUGUGUGUGUGAUUGUUUUUCUUUGGCGUGUGUUUUCUCUAUUUUUUUUUGUUUCUCACGGGUUGGGAAUUCGGUUUAAUUCCCUACAACUGGUAUCAGAGCCUAGGGUUAGGUUUGAGUGGGAGCAAUGGCAGAGGAAGCAGGAAAGGCGUCUGGAAUAGAAAAGUUUGAUGGCACAUACUUUGCGUAUUGGAGAAUGCAGAUUGAAGAUUAUCUCUAUAGGAGGAAAUUGCAUCUGCCUCUUUUGGGGACAAAACCUGAGAGUAUGAAGGCUGAGGAAUGGGCGCUUCUUGACAAACAGGUUCUAGAAGUUAUUAGGUUAACUCUGUCUAGGUCUGUUGCACAUAAUGUUGUAAAGGAGAAGACCACAACAGAUUUGAUGAAGGCUUUGUCCGGUAUGUAUGAAAAGUCGUCCGCAAACAAUAAGGUGCAUCUGAUGAAGAAAUUGUUCAAUUUGAAGAUGGUAGAGAAUGCGUCAGUAGCACAACAUCUGAAUGAAUUUAAUACAAUCACAAAUCAAUUGUCGUCUGUAGAAAUUGAUUUUGAUAAUGAGAUUCGUGCUCUGAUCGUCUUGGCUUCUUUGCCAAACAGUUGAGAGGCAAUGAGGAUGGUAGUAAGCAAUUCUACGGGAAAGGAAAAGCUCAAGUACAAUGAUAUACGAGAUUUAAUUCUGGUUGAGGAGAUUCGCCGAAGAGAUGCAGGUGAAACCUCAAGAUCUGGUUCUGCCCUAAACCUUAAGACAAGAGGCAAAGGUAAUGACAGAAAUUGAAAUCGGGGUAGAUCAAAUUCCAGAAAUUCUAAUCGGAACAGAAGCAAAUCUAGAUCAGGCUAACAAGUACAAUGCUGGAAUUGUGGGAAAACAGGUCACUUUAAAAGGCAAUGCAAAAACCCUAAGAAGAAAAAUGAAGAUGAUUCUGCUAAUGCUGUAACAGAAGAGGUACAAGAUGCAUUACUUCUUACAGUAGACAGUCCACUUGAUGAUUGGGUUUUGGAUUCAGGAACUUCGUUUCAUACCAUUCCACACCGAGAAAUCAUACAGAAUUAUAUUGCAGGUGAUUUUGGUAAGGUGUAUUUGGCUGAUGGUUCAGCCUUGGAUGUUGUGGGUCUGGGAGACGUCCGAAUAUCGUUGCCCAAUGGGUCUGUUUGGUUACUGGAGAAGGUUCGACAUAUUCCUGACCUGAGGAGGAAUCUGAUUUCUAUUGGACAACUUGAUGAUGAAGGACAUGCAAUACUAUUUGUUGGUGGUACUUGGAAGGUUACAAAGGGAGCUAGGGUAUUGGCUCGUGGAAAGAAGACUGGUACUCUGUAUAUGACCUCAUGUCCAAGAGACACAAUUGCAGUUGCUGAUGCAAGUAUUGAUACAAGCAUAUGGCACCGUAGACUUGGUCACAUGAGUGAGAAAGGGAUGAAGAUGUUGUUGUCAAAAGGAAAACUACCAGAAUUGAAGUCCAUUGAUUUUGACAUGUGUGAAAGUUGCAUCUUAGGAAAGCAAAAAAAGGUGAGCUUCUUGAAAACUGGUAGGACACCGAAGGCUGAAAAAUUGGAAUUAGUACACACUGAUUUGUGGGGGCCUUCUCCGGUUGCAUCCUUAGGAGGUUCAAGGUACUACAUCACUUUUAUUGAUGACUCAAGUAGAAAGGUAUGGGUUUAUUUUCUGAAAAAUAAAUCUAAUGUAUUUGAAACUUUUAAGAAGUGGAAGGCCAUGGUAGAGACAGAAACAGAUUUGAAAAUAAAAUGUUUAAGGUCAGAUAAUGGAGGAGAGUACAUAGAUGGAGGGUUCAGUGAGUAUUGUGCUGCAUAGGGAAUUAGGAUGGAGAAGACCAUUCCUAGGACACCACAGCAGAAUGGUGUGACUAAGCGCAUGAACAGAACUCUCAAUGAGCGUGCUAGAAGUAUGAUGUUGCAUGCUGGACUACCAAAAACUUUUUGGGUUGAUGCUGUUAGCACUGCAGCUUACCUAAUAAACCGAGGACCAUCAGUUCCCAUCGAGUUCAGACUUCCUGAGGAGGUUUGGAGCGGUAAAGAGGUGAAGUUUUCACAUUUAAAAGUUUUUUGUUGUGUUUCUUAUGUUCAUAUUGAUUCUGAUGCUCGUAGUAAACUUGAUGCAAAGUCAAAAAUAUGUUUUUUCAUUGGCUAUGGUAAUGAGAAAUUUGGCUAUAGGUUUUGGGAUGAACAAAACAGGAAAAUCAUCAAAAGUAGAAAUGUGAUAUUUAAUGAACAGGUUAUGUACAAGGACAGGUCAACUGUAGUGUCAGAUGUUAUAGAGAUAGAUCAAAAGAAAUCUGAGUUUGUCAACUUAGAUGAAUUGACUGAAAGUACUGUCCAAAAAGGGGGUGAAGGAGAUAAGGAGAAUGUAAAUUUACAGGUAGAUUUGAGUACACCUGUAGCUGAAGUUCGCAGAUCUUCCAAGAACAUUAGACCUCCGCAACGUUAUUCACCUGUUUUAAAUUAUCUCCUGUUGACUGAUGGUGGUGAGCCAGAGUGUUAUGAUGAAGCCUUGCAAGAUGAGAAUUCAAGCAAGUGGGAGUUAGCCAUGAAGGAUGAGAUAGAUUCCCUAUUGGGGAAUCAGACAUGGGAACUGACUGAAUUGCCAGUAGGAAAGAAGGCUUUGCAUAACAAGUGGGUAUACAGAAUAAAGAAUGAACAUGAUGGUAGCAAACGUUACAAGGCCAGAUUAGUUGUUAAAGGGUUCCAACAGAAGGAGGGCAUUGACUACACAGAGAUAUUUUCUCCAGUUGUGAAGAUAUCAACAAUUAGACUUGUACUUGGAAUGGUGGCUACAGAAAACUUACAUCUUGAGCAGUUAGAUGUGAAGACAGCAUUCCUUCAUGGUGACUUGGAGGAAGACCUUUACAUGAUUCAGCUAGAAGGGUUCAUUGUUCAGGGACAAGAGAAUCUAGUCUGCAAACUGAGAAAGAGCUUGUAUGACCUUAAACAAGCUCCUAGACAGUGGUACAAGAAGUUUGACAAUUUUAUGAUAGAAUUGGGUUCAAGAAAUGUGAAGCUGAUUACUGUUGCUAUUUUAAGUCCUUUGACAAUUCUUACAUCAUAUUACUAUUGUAUGUGGAUGAUAUGCUUAUUGCAGGGUCUGACAUUGAGAAGAUUAAUAAUCUUUGCAGGGUUUGACAUUGAGAAGAUUAAUAAUCUGAAGAAGCAAUUGUCCAAACAGUUUGCAAUGAAGGAUUUGGGAGCUGCAAAGCAAAUCCUUGGUAUGAGAAUCAUUAGAGACAAGGCUAAUGGUACAUUGAAGCUUUCACAAUCAGAGUAUGUGAAGAAAGUUCUCAACAGGUUCAACAUGCAUAAAGCUAAACCAGUGAGCACACCCUUGGGUAGUCAUUUCAAACUAAGCAAAGAACAGUCAUUGAAGACAGAAGAAGAAAGGGACCAUAUGAGCAAGGUGCCCUAUGCCUCAGCUAUUGGUAGCUUGAUGUAUGCUAUGGUGUGUACAAGGCCAGACAUUGCACAUGCAGUGGAAGUUGUGAGCAAAUUCAUGAGUAGGCCUGGAAAGCAGCAUUGGGAGGCAGUCAAGUAGAUUUUAAGAUAUCUAAAGGGUUCAUUAGAUACAUGUCUUUGCUUCACAGGUGCAAGUUUGAAACUGCAGGGUUAUGCAGAUGCUGAUUUUGCUGGUGAUAUUGAUAGUAGAAAGAGUACUACUGGGUUUGUUUUUACUCUAGGUGGUACAACUAUAUCAUGGACUUCAAAUCUAUAGAAGAUUGUUACUUUGUCUACUACAGAAGCUGAGUAUGUUGCAACAACUGAAAUUGGAAAGGAGAUGAUUUGGUUACAUGGUUUCUUAGAUGAAUUAGGUAAGAAGCAGGAGAUGGGCAUUCUACACAGUGACAGUCAGAGUGCAAUUUUUUUUGCCAAAAAUUCGGCUUUUCAUUCAAAGUCGAAACAUAUACAAACAAAAUACCACUUUAUCCGUUAUCUUGUUGAGGAUAAACUGGUAAUACUUGAGAAGAUUUGUGGAUCUAAGAACCCUGCAAACAUGUUGACUAAGGGUGUCACUAUUGAGAAGUUGAAGUUGUGCGCAGCUUCAAUUGGUCUUCUAGCUUGAGGACAGGAGGAUGAGUUGUAGGGAUGAGGGAUUGUUUCUUGGAGGAUAGCGGUUUGAUGUUGGUGAUUGGACUAGUCUCCAAGUGGGAGAUUUGUUGGGCUUUGUGGAGCCUAGUUUUGUUUGAUCCAGUUUGAUGAUCCGACCCGAAUAAUAUUGCAUGGCUUUUUAAUGGGAGAUUUAUUAAGGCCUAUUGGGCCCGUUUAGCCCAUUGUGGAACCACCUUUUGUAAUUAGGGUUUUUUAGUAUGGUGGGGUUGCCGUGUUAUAUAUAUAUAAAGAAUAUAGUAGCCGCUAGGUUGUACUCUGUAUUCUUCCCUGAUAAUAGUGAUAUCCCUGCAACUCCGUGGACAUAGGCAAAUUGCCGAACCACGUAAAUACUGUCUUUUGUGUGUGAUUGUUUUUCUUUGGUGUGUGUUUUAUCUAUUUUUUUGUUUCUCACGGGUUGGGAAUUCGGUUUAAUUCCCUACAGUUACCAAUAUGGAUCAUGAUGGUAACAUAUCAUUUUAUCAAAUAUAAUUCAUUCCAUGCAUCACACAACCGGUAACUCAAUAUAGAUAGCCUAAAUGAGGAAGUAAUAACCUACAAAUAUCCAUUAGAUGAUCCUGACCUUUAUUUCAAAAAUUUGACAAUCCUAUUAACUAUUAUCUUAUAAAAUGUGCACAAGGGAGUAUGAAAUUAUAUUAUUGUAUGUUUAAAACAAUUAUAUAACAUCCCCUUAGAGUGAAUAUGUUUCCUUAAACUUAGGCACCAAAGCUUUUGUAAAAGGAUCUACUAUCAUCAUGUUUGUACCAAUGUGUUCGAUGGACACCUUUUGAAAUUAGACUAUUUCUUUAACCACAUGAUGUUUCAAUUUAAUAUGUUUUGAUUUACCAUAUCAUUUACUCUCAAAAAAGAAAACUAUUGAAAAAUUAUUGCGGCAUGCCUUAAUUGUCUUAGAGAUGCCAUAAUUUUGAGCCCUAAAAUAGUGUCAUAGCUAAGUAACUUGUGAAGUUGCUUAAUGACUUGCAAUAACUUCAAUUGCCAUUAUGGAAGAAGCAUUGAUAGUAUUGGUUCUAACAUGAUAAUUUAGUACAACCUUAUUGUAUGGAAAGUAGACUUUAGAGUUUGAUCAUGUUACCAAAGCAUAACUAUCCUCGAGGAAAAUAGAAGUUAUGGGCAUGUAAAUUCUAUACCUAGUAUGUAAGGAUGUGAGAGAUUGUUGGAAACACUUGGUAGAGUAAAUACUUACGAUGAAGUAGAUAAAAUUAGUAGGAAAAAUAUAGGAUGUUUCAAAAUUCAGUAAUUAUAUAAUUUUUUUAAUUCUUAUUAUCAUUGUCAUUUACAAUAUUCUUUAUGAUACUAACCAAAAUCAGUUUUUCUCAUUUAUACAUGUAGGCAUGAUUAGUUGAGCUAUGUUAGAAUUACAUAUACCUUUGUGUUCAUGAUUUUGUCUCUGUUUUCUUACACUCAUACAUAGCAAGUUAGUUAUAAGAGUAUUUUUUCAGUAUAACAAGUGAUAUCACAGUUUCUUCAAGUACAACACUUCACAAUAAUAACAUUUAAAAUAUUGUUCAUUGGUCAUAAAAGAAAUGGAUGGAAUCCCUAUAUAAUUUAGCAGAUUUAAUAGAGACCUAUGUCCAUUAUGAAAAAACCCAAAGCAUUGAAAUUUCGAAUUUAGGAAUCUAAAAUCCACAAAAAUAUAAAAAAUUGUAUAUGGAAUUAAUCAUGAAUAGGGUUGAAAUCAAUUCAAGUUGUAAAAUGAAUAAAUUGAAAUCUUCAUUAUGCCUUUGUUAUUUUUUUAACUUAAAUUAUUACUUUUAUAAUUUUAAUUUUUAAUCUAUUACUUUUUAUAUAUUAAAAAAACAUCAACACUUUUUAGCUUUCCAUUUGUUUUUAUUAUAAUUUAAAAUUACAUGCACAUAAAAAAAACCAUAUAUUUUUAUUAUAAUUUUUUAAAAGUAAACAUAAAUUAUUUUUUAAAACUGUUUUUUGUUGUAAAAAAAAAAAAAAAAAACACACACACACACUUUAUAAUAAAAAACAAAAAACAAAAAUUUUGUUCUUAAAUAUAGAAAAAUAAUGUGUCUUGAAAUAACAUCUUUUAGUUGUUAGUUUUUUUGGGGUGUUUUAAAAAUAAUUUAUAUAAAUAUGGUGAAUAAUUAAAAAUAAUCAAAGUAUGAUAUAAUUUUUAAAAAUAUAGAAAACGAAUUAAGAAUAUUUAAGCUCUUAAACAAACUCUUGUUUUAUAAGAUAUUAAAUAUUAAUUUUCAAAAAUUAUUUUCGAAAACGCUUUCCUAUUAGAGUUUCAAUUUCUUUCAUCUAUAUAUAUAUAUAUUAAUGAUAUGAGAUUGUUCAUUGUAUGUGCUUUUAAUUUAACUUCAAUAUAUAAAGUUAUGAAAAUUUUGUUAUUUAUAUAAUUCAUUUGUUUGCACAAAUUAUAUAAUAAGUUUAUGACUACUUAUUACUUAUUUUAAUUAAAUUAGUUCGUACUUUGAUUUGACUAAUAAAAAAAAUGAAUGAUUGGUAUUUAAAUAAUUUAUAUUUAAGAAUACUUAUGUUUUAAGGCUUUCAAUAAUAUGUUUAUUAUAUUUUAAACAAAAGUCUAUUUGAAAAUUUAGAAUAUUUUUAAUAUGUUUAUUAUAUUUUAAAAAUAAAUUUUAUUUAUAGUGUUUUAUUUUUAAUCAUUCUUUAUGUUUUUAGUAUUUUUUUUUAAAACAUUCCUUAAAAAAAACAAGUGAAAAUAAUUAAAUAUGUUUUAAAAAAAACACCACAUUUUUUGUUUUCCAAUUGUUGUACAUGUUUUCAUUCUCACUAAAAUAACAAGAUUAAAAUGGAUGCAUAACAAUUCAUUCUCACUAAGAAAAAUAAAAAUUUAAAAUGUUUUUUUUUUUUUUAAUGUAGAUGAUUUUGAUACAUAUUUGACAAUACCUUUGAAUAUAUUAGAUUUGUAGGUGUUUUUAGGUGGGAUACAUUCACUUUCUACUAAUACAUUAAUUUAAUAAGUAUAUGUUUCUUUAUCAACUUUUAAAUAAAUAAAUUUUAGUAUCAUUCUCUUCAAUUUAUUAUCUCUACUUAUAUCAUUCCAAUUUCUAUAAAUAAUAAAUAUGCCCUCACCUUUCAAAUCAUAACAAAUCUCUCUCUAAUUCAACACUUCAAUUCUUCAAAUUUUAGACUAAGUCAAAGUAACUGAUUCAAACUUGGCAUCCUCAUCAGUCCAUGACUUCGCCAUCCAUAUCUAUCCAAUGGAUAUGAGCAAUCUUGCGCCAUUCUUUCCCUUUAUCCCUUUGGCACCGUUUUUUCAGCACAGGACAUCCAUAAAUCUGGAGAGCAGUGAGGGAGGAGGGCAGCCCCUGUUUCGGAAAGGACUUUAACUUAACGCAGUUACGCAUCUCGAGUAUUUCGAGAGAUGUGAGGUUUUGAAGCCCCAGAUUGUCCAGGUAUUUCAGAUCUGGAAAGUCAAAAAUACUGAAAGAAAAGAGAGUGGAGGGCAGCAGCAGCCACUCCUCGGAAAAUGACUCCAACCCUCCUGUACCUCCAUCGAUAACCAAUCCUCUAAGGGAGGGAAGUGUUUGUAAGCCCCAUUCCUUCCGAGAUUCCAUAAGCUUGUAGCAAGACCCGAUGUCAAGUGAAGAUAGAUUAGUCGGCAAACCCCCUUCCGGAAAUGAAACAAUUUCGGAACAAUCAUAUAUAUCCAAAUCUUCAAGCGAGGUAAGGAGGGUGUGCAUCCGUUGGGGUAGUGACUUGAGCUUCUUGCAAUUGUCGAUACAAAGGUCUCUCAGGUUGGAAGCUGGCAAUCCUCCUUGUGGAAAAGACACCAAAUUCGGGCAAUUCCAGAUGUGGAUUCUUUGGAGAGAUGUGAGAUCCAUGUUGUGAAGUCCAUCUGGAAUGUAAAAGGACUCCAGAUUUGUACAAUCCCCGAUAUAGAGUGUCUCAAGCUUUGUGAAGAAGGCUAAUGGAAAGGACGUAAGAGAAUCACAACUUCUCCUUAUACGAAAAUAGGUAAGCCAAGGGUAGUAGUUUUGCGUGGUCUCCUCAGGAAUGGGUAACUCUACUUUCCGACACUGCUUGAUUUCAAGUGAUUUCAAUGAAGAGAUGAUGGGCAAAGACGUAAGAGAAUCACAAUCUUCUAUGUACAACCUCUGGAGACUGAUAUUAUUUUGAGUCAUUCCCUCUGGUAGGGUCUCUAGAAUGUGGCACUUUUCUAUUCGAAGGGUUUCAAGCAUGGGGGGUAGCCCCAUCUCUGGAAGAGAGGAAAGACUCUGACAUUCCUUGAUAACCAAGUUCCGGAGAGAUGUGAGCUUAAGCAAAAUCGCUGGCAAUUCCACUUGUAUGGAACAAAUAUUACUCACUUCCAACUCAUUUAUUGAAGGCAGGUGGACAACACUUCUCAACACUACCUCAUCACAUUCUUUUAAAUUCAGUUUUUGAAUGGACGGUGCCUCUGGAAGCUGACACACCAAUUGCCCACAUUCUAAAAUUACCAGACUUGUUAAAACAGGAAGGUGCUUGGGCAAAUCCCCUUUCAGCUUUGGACAACUCUCAAUACGGAGUUCAUUGAGACGAGGGAACUCCCCCCCUUCGGCUCGAAAACAAUCCCAUUCCUCCCACUCUGACAUCUCCUUGAACACCAGAGUCUGCAGACUUCCAAAUGGCUUAAAUGAAGAAGGCCCAUUCCCAUAAAACUCCUGCCCCACCUUUUGCAGAACAUCAUUCUUCACAAUGGAGAGGUUCUGGAGAGAUCGUAGCUGUCCAAGCGGUGGCAAGGAUGCACAAUUUUUACAGUUAGAGAGUUGUAGACGCAUCAUGUUGAUGAAUGAAGGUUCCCCUAACCAGCUUGGAAAUUUUGCACCAUAGUAGCAUCCGAUGGAGAGUUCUUUCAGGUUGCUAUGAGGCUGCAGCUUUUCCAGCACACUUGCUGCAUCAUGUGAAUCACCGGCAAUUGCAUUAUCAUCAUCCCAAUUCAAUUCUAACUGGUCAAGGCACUCCUUACCCUUCAU
Molecule: long non-coding RNA, 60249 nt
Filed under: Vitis vinifera (wine grape)
Lineage: Eukaryota; Viridiplantae; Streptophyta; Magnoliopsida; Vitales; Vitaceae
Description: long non-coding RNA (VVIN_LNC006975)
Source: RNAcentral